UUUUUUUUUUUUUUGGUCUGUAGGAAUGCAUAUGACUUAAUUUAGUUAUUUUUUUGAAAAAAGGAGUACGUAGUAGCUAUGUUUAGUCGUACAUACCACUGAGAAUUUUGGUAUAUAUAACAAUUGUUCAAUUUAAUCAAAACCUUUCUAAAUCCAAUGAACACGUAGAAAAAUAAGCUCGAUCAGGCUAAUGAUGUCAAUCUAUAUACAACUUCAAGGAAGGAUAAAUAAUUGCUUUCGUCCAUUCUAAUGUUGACUUACUUAUUCAACCAAAAAAAAAAAAGGUUUCUUUUCUUGUUUUCUGAAGUGUUUUCUUUGUACUGAUAGGAGAGGCCUCAAUUGUACUAAAAAAUAUAACUUGCACCAAACCUAUUAUUGGAGACGGCAGAUGUACUGCGCAAACAUAAACAGAAAUUUGCAUUCAUUGGAAUAUAUUUAAUAUCAAUCUUAAUUUUUUUCAACAGUGAUGGAUAAUGCAUGAUGAAGCAAACGUUUGGUGAGGUUGGAUGAGGUUCAGGUCAAAGCUUGAGGACAAAUACACCUUCAGCAAUUUUGUAGACAUAGGAAUUGGCAUUUUGGUUAAAUACACCUUGAGCAAAUUUUUUUUUUUUUUUGUUUCUUAUGGCAAAAUAGACAAAUCAGACACACCAACAACAAAAAAAGAAGCCACUUACCUCUGUUAAAAAGCUUUAAUCUUUACUUUGAACCUAAAUCAGAUACUUAAGAGUGCAGGAGAGGAGCACAAAAAUAAGACCAAGAUUCUUGAACUACUCAAUUCUAAAAUGUAUGGUUAGAAAAUUUCAUUAAAACAAUUUUAACAAGCUUUAAAUUUCUAUUGAAGAUAAAAAAAAAAAAAUGUUCUUAUCAGUGUCUAUUUCUUUACACACAGAGGAUUGUUACAGAAAAACUGUGUAUCGUAACAGGAUUCCUUAUUCCAACAACCAUAUCAUUGGCAUUACUUGGUGAAGGCUUGAAAAGUUUCUAUUGUUUAAUCACACUUGUUUAAUUUCUGGCAUAAGAAAAAUAAGACAUUUUUUCAAACCAUCCGCUUCUGCACUAGAAGGACUUCCUAUUUAUAGCCAAUAGAUUAUGCUCAUCCUAAGCAUAUUUUCCCUACCAUAGCUGAAAGCCAGAUACUCCCUAAAAACCAUACACCAAUCAUACCACUGACCGCAUUUCCUUUGCACCAUGUCUAGCUCAUUUUUCGGUUCAAUCACAAGUGAGCAAAGAUGGACUGAUCAGUUGAAUGAGCAUUUCAUCAUAUACAUUGACAAUCAUGCUUCCAUCUUUCGUGUACCCAAAAAAGUAUGCGACACAAAGCCAGAAGCUUAUGCCCCUCAGCAGAUAGGCCUAGGAGCAUAUCAUCACUUGAGGCCUGAUCUUGAUGAAAUGGAGAUCAGAAAGCUUGAGGCUGUGAAGAAAUAUUUGAAGCCAGAACAGUGCCAGAAUUUCAAAAGCCUAAUUGUCGACAAGGUCAAAGUGCUUGAGCCCUCGGUGCGCACCUGCUACAGCAAGUACUUGGACAUUGAUGGCGGUACUUUGGCAUGGAUCAUGUCUAUUGACGGUGUAUAUUUGCUUCAUCGGCUGGGCACCUACACAGAUAAAGCAAGUGUUGAUUCGGCAGACAGGAAGUUAGCUCAGGACAUUGUCAUGUUGGAGAAUCAAAUGCCCGUGAUUGUACUGAAAGAAAUACUAAAGGCUUUACAACCUCCUGUGGAAGAUGAGGAGGAAGGUAGCGAUGAUGAUGAUGAUGCUGAGAACGAGGAUGAGGAAGGUGAAGAAGAUGAGGAGGAAGAAGAAGAUGACGGAGAGGAUGAGGACGAAGGUGAGGAGGAGGAAAUAAAAAAGGUCGAAGAGUUAUUUUCCCAGUUCUUGUCAUUUUGUAAAGCACACACUCCCCUUGGCCUAACUGAUAAGGCAGGAAUUCUUGGCGAUACCUCUAAUCCUCAUCUUCUGAGUUAUUUGUAUAAUUUGAUUGUGAAAAAUUGGUAUAUUGAAGAAGAGUAUGUUGAAUCUGCGAGUGACAGAGAAUUGGAUGAGGUUGCUGAGAAAGUUACACAGGUUGCGAGGGUUGCAGCUGAAUUGACGGGCCAGAAACCUCUAUUGUUGCUAGCAAGUUUACCACUGCAGAAAUUUGCGGCACUUUUCAAAAAAGAUCCAAGAAGAGGAAACUCUUCAAUUGAGGAGAUCCGAAUACCGUCUGUUUCGGAACUUGAUGGUGUUUCUAAAGUAAAGUUUGAAGUCUGGUCUGAUUCAGGUAUUGGAAUGAAGUAUGAUGAAGAGGGCCGCAUACUCUACCUCCCAGGAAUCACAUUGGACACUGAUUCAGAAGCAAUAUUACGAAACCUGGUUGCCUAUGAAGUUGCCACAGCUUCUCCAAAAUCAACCCUUAUACUUGCAGGAUAUGUGGAUUUCAUGUGCGGCAUUAUUGACACUGCUAAAGAUGUAGAUUUGCUCAAGGAAAAGGGAAUCAUAAUAAGCAAUCUCCCGAGUGAAGAAAUCGCAAAAAUCUUCAAUGGGAUAAGCAAAUCUAGUAGUCAGAAUCCUCUUCCCGAAUUGGAAGAGGCCACUCAGAAGUUGAACGCGAUAUAUGACAACACUUUCAGAGUCAAAGCUUGGAGAUUCAUAAGAGACCAUUUUGUUCCAUCUGAGGCCGCUGUCAAAAUCUUUCUUGCCAUAUUGCUUGUUGUGCUCCUCACAGUACAAGCAUUUUGCCAGGUUUAUGGCUGCAGUGCUCGUUGGUUUGGCAAGAUCAGUUCCAUUUCGUCAUUUUGAAUUUAUAGAAGUUUCUGUUUCCUUCAGGCCUUUCAGUUUUUCUUUACAGUAAUUUGUCUCUCUCUGAUUCUAAAUGCAGUGUUCUUAUCAUGAUUUCUUAGUUUUGUGGAGGUGUUAAUUUUCUUCUUUUUACUACAACCUAAUAAUUAGUAUAUUAUAGUAAUUAGCCAUAGCAACUCCAAUAAUUUGUUAUAAAUUUACUAUAGCAAAGGUUCAUACCAAAGGUUCAGUAGGCGAUUAGGAUAUAACUAAAAGUUUAAAAGAGUGUCAUCAAUAGUUUACUAUUCUUAAAGUCUUCCCCUAGCUUUUAAUUUUUUUUAUUUUUAUUUUCAUAUACUCUUAAUGGAAAAAUUAUAAAUUUAAAUUUUUUAAAAGUUUCAGUUUACCCACUAAACUAAUUUUUGUGCCAAAUAACCUACUAAACUUUUUAAAAAUUUUAUUUCACUCACUCAACUAUUUUUUGUUCAAAAUUAUCCACUAACUUUUUUUGGUGAUCUAUUUUGACCAUUCUGUUAAAUUUUGCCCAACAGAAGUUUGCCACGUAACCCAGUUUUGAAUAUAUGAAUUUGUCAUUUCACACCUAAAACCUAUCUGUGCAUUGGAAAUGCCUAUUAGAAAGCGUGAAAGCAUGGUUUAACAGAGCAUAUUCGUUCCAAUUUAUUUGGUUUAUAUCGUAACAGAGCUAAAUCACAAACUGGAUUAUUUUGUUGUUGUCUUUCUCUUUUCUUUUUUUGGCUUUCUGGCUGAAACAAAACUACCAAGUUUUUUUUGUUUUUUGGGUCCAUCAACAAUUUUCAAAUUAAGAUUACGUUUAUGCGAAAGAGAAGUAUUUGGUUUUUAUGCUUAUCAAUGAAUCAAGUUAUUUGGUUUUCUUUCUUUUUUCUUUUUUGCUUUGUAGCUGAAUCAAAACUACUAAGUUUUUAUGCUCCAUCAUCAAUUUUCAAAUUAAGGUUAGGUUUAUGUGAAAGAGAACUAUAAAAUUUAAGCUUGCCAUUCUACUUUCAUAAACUUGUGGGUUCAUAACAAAAUCAUUCUUGCUUUAAAUUCACUUCCAACUGCAAAAUUUGGUACUGUACUUGAAACUUAAGAUGACAUUAUAAUGCCUCAUGUCGAAGACAGUUGAAUUUUUUUUCUUGUUCGGUCCUAUCUCUCAUCGAGGCACCAAACGAAAAAUAAUGCGGCAUCAACAUAACUUAAAGGGUUAAUUACAUAUACCUCCUUUAAGAUUUGGCAGAUUUGCGAAAUUUACAAUGUAGUUUGGCCAAAUUACAGUUAUACUUCAUAAAUAGCCAAAUAUUUUUCAAGUAUCCCCAUCAUAUAAUAAUGUUCUAGAUCCCCAUGACUCUUUUGUAAUUUGACCUAAUUACAUUUGCCUAUCUUGAACAUUGCCCAAAUCACAAAAGGAAUUGCUUUCAUUGUACAAGUCCUUGUUUAAACACUUUGAAUAACCAGAUAAUUAUUAAAAAAAACCUCCAUGUGUCAAUUGAUCUUAACUAUAUAAAUGACAGUAACAUGAAUAAGAUUUUACUAAAAUUCCUUUUUUAAAAAUUUUUUUCUAGCAAGAAGGGAUGGCAUUUACGAAAUGGGGAGGGAAAGAAGGAUCUGAAUAUACAGGACUUCUAAGAUUUGAGAUUUUAAAUUCCUAAAGUAUCAUGUGCAUAAUCCUUUUUUCCUACCAUAAGCUACAAUUAGUGCAACCAAAACCCAAGUCAUGAGGCAUCAUCAAUUAUAACAUUGAAGUCACCAAAGGAGUUGAUUUAGCCACCAAGUUUUGCUGAAACCAUUUAAAGCCUAGCGUAUCUCUUUUUUUUUUUUCCUAAUUUACUUCAUGAUUUUAAGUCUCCAAUUCGAUUCAUUAUCUUUGGUCUCCAUUUUCAUUUGUCAUGAUCAUCAAGAAGUCCUUUUGCAAGUAUACAUUCCUAUGAUAUUACCAAUCAUGUUUAAUUAAUUACCCACUACAAACGUGACAAAGUUAAUUGAGACUAACAAUGACCUAAAACUUGCAAUUUUUCUUUCAAAAUAAACUAAUGCAACUUGACUUGGUUGAGCUAAGAAAACGGAAAAUAAAAUGUGCAAGCAACGCAUAUGUAUACAUGCAUUUGUCCCAGGAUAUGACAAGAGACACUAGAUUAGUAUCUAGUUACAAUAUACUUCUUGUCACUUUAAGUUCACCGCCUAUAAUGCAAUUGUUGUUUUCAUCCUGUUUGUCACCCACUGCAAAUGUGACAAAUCAAUUGAGAAUAACAAUGACCUAAAACUUGCAAUUUUUCUUUCAAAUAAACUAAUGCAACUGGACUUGGUUGAGCUAAGAAAACAGAAAAUAAAAUAUACAAGCAACGUAGAUGUAUGCAUGCAUUUGUCCCAGGAUACGACAAGAGACACAAGAUUAGCAUCUAGUUACAAUAUAAUUCCUGUCACCUUAAGUCACCUCAUAUAUUUUAAGAGAUAAUUUCAGAAACCUCCCUUGAGGUUUCUAGUAAUUUCAGACAGCUCCCCUCACAUUUUAAAAAUUACACAUACCUCCCAUAAAAUAUAGGUUUCGAUUUCACCUUGAUGAUGUAAGACCAAAAAGUAUAUGACUGCCCAAAAUUCCCCUCAUCUAAAUUUCUUUAAUAUGAAUAAUCAUUAAAAUUUUUUAAAAGUUAAGAAUACACUUGUAUACUACCAAAAUCACCAGUUUUAUUGCUUAGCCAAUUUUUUGAUAUUUUCCAUCUUCAUGUUUUUCUACAUCAACCAAAACUUUCAAACUCUUAUCACUUCUUCUUCUUCUGAACAAAUUCUUUGUCUUAGAUGCCAAAAUCCGCCGUCGUAAUUCUUACCUUCACAAUCUUUACCUUUCUAGAGGUUUCUUCCAUUUCUUGCCUACCAAACCGUUAGUCAUAAAACUCACAAUUCUUACCUUUUCCCCACUCAAAUGGCCAAGCCCUCAAUUACCAAAAUUCUUCUAACCUCUGCUCUCAACAUUUGGAUUGGUUAUCCUAAAUCAACCCACAUUUUUUCCCUCUAAAUUGACACAAUUUUAUUGAGAACAAAUUUGAUGUCUAUUAAGAGGAACUAGACAAAACAUCAACAAUGCAAGUUUGGGGUAAUAGUUUCAGUACAGUCUAUCAAAUUAUACUUUCUGUAAUCUAGUAGCAUUUUUGUACUCAAUGACAUGAAUAAUUGGAUUGUUGGUAGUGAUGAUUGCUUCCAUCAUCAUCAACAGAAGUAGCAUAUUUGAGUGAUAGAAGGAAGGAGACAUUUAAAUUGAUUAUCAUAUUUGAGUGAUAGAAGGUUACAAUUUAAUAGUCAUGGUUCAAAUAGUUUAGCCAUAAUAUAUGGCUUGAUCAAGAAGAAUUGUUUUCCUUUUUUCUAUUAUCUUUUCCCUUUUGUAUCAAUGGCUUGUCUUUUGAAUAAUUAUGAAGGUUAUUAUAGUUAUUGUCUAUCAGCAAGAGAGGUAAGUGUAAUAUUGAAAAUCUCAAGGAAGGUCAGUGAAAUUGUCAGAAACUUUAGGGGAGGUCUAUAAAAUUAUCCCAUAAUGUAAUUGUUGUUUUCAUCCUAUUUGUCACUCACUACAAACGUGACAAAAUUAAUUGAGACUAACAAUGACCUAAAACUUACAAUUCUUCUUUCAAAAUAAACUAAUGCAACUUGACUUGGUUGAGGUAAGGAAACGGCAAAUAAAAUGUAUAAGCAAUGCAUAUGUAUACAUGCAUUUGUCCCAAGGUACGACAAUAGAAGUUAGAUUAGCAUCUAGUUACAAUAUACUUCUUGUCACUUUAAGUUCACCUCGUAUAAUACAAUUGUUGUUUUCAUCCUAUUUGUCACCUGUCUGACGAUUAUUAUAUUCUAAUAGUGAUAACAACAAUUUUUGAGCAUCAGAAAAUUUGGUGCGGUGUUGAAAGGAGGAAAAAUACAAUAUUAAUUUAGACACGACCAUAGCCUGAUAUACAAGACAUAAUCCUUGAUUAGUGUGGUAUUGACACGAGAAAGAAAAAAAAAUGUAACCCCUGAUUAGUGUGGGUUUAAUACGACUUUCAAUCAGAUUUAAAAGCAUAACCGAAGGUUGAUUAUCUUUUGUUAAUUUAUUGCUCUAAUGGUUUUUUUUUUGUGGUGCAGGUAAGAACUUAAAAGCAUAAGCCGACACAAAAUUGGUUGUUAAAUUGAUUUUAAAUUCAUGAUAUAGAAGACAAAAAUCUUUGAUUAGUGUGAUAUUGACCAGAGAAAGGAAAAAAAAUGAAAUAUGGGACGACUAACCCUUGAUUAGUCUGGAUUUGAUCAUAUAAUCAGCUGUACUAAUGCGACUUUUUCAGUUCAAAUUUAAAAGCAUAAGCUGAGAUUGGUUGUUAUUGUUUAUUGUCGUACUGGUCACUAAUGCUUUCUAGUGCAGUGCAGGUAAGAACUCAAAAGCAUAAACUGACAUAAGAUUGGUUGUUAGAAGCAUAUAGUUAGAUUAGCUAGCGGAUGCAACUAGGGCAACUGCCCCCAAGAUUUAGGAAUUCUUAAAUACCCCUAUAAAAAUUAAAAUUUUUUGUUUUUUUAAUCCUUCUACAAAUCAGACUUUGUCCCUACAAGAUUUUAGAAAUCUUUUUAUAUCCCUUUGACAUGUUCAAAAUUUUUUCCUUACCAUCCUUGAAAAUAUUAAAUUUCCCACCGGAGCUUUCUACAAAAAUAUAAGAACGCCCCCAUAAGUGUACUUAGUUACUAUUCUUGCCUCCUUUCCCAAAAUGUUAACCUCUAAUUCCAGCAAUGGUUCGAUUCAUUUCUGAUGAAUCGAGAUCAAGGACCAGCUCAAGUUACUUAUAGGGUCUAGGAAAUCAAUAAUUCAUUGACAUGGGAAAAUGUGUUAAUGAAAUUCAGAUUAAAGGAGGUAAGUCCAAUACGAAAAAUAGAAGGAGCUAAGUGAAAUUGUCAUUAAUCACACUCGAGAUAUGCACAAUUAUCAUUACUUUUUUGUCAGUUAAUCUUUCAUUUUCUUUAAUGUAAACACAAUCAACAAUUCAAGAAACUAAUUUUCAAUUUUUGUAAAGGUUGCACAGUUAACUCGCACAAUCCUUUAUGUUUCUCUAUUCCCGCUGCGCAGUAUUAAGUUUCAAUGUUUCAAAGACACUUACUUGGAGACUUAAAAUUCAAGAAAGAUACUUCAUUAGAGAUAGAAAUUAACAACAAAAUUCAACUUUGAAUUAUUGACAAAAAGGGAAAUUUUGGGACUGACAUACUUAGGCCUUGUUUGGAUUGUGAUUUUCCUCAGAAAAAUUACUACGUUUUCCGUGAACACAUUUCCCUAGUAUCUUUUUACCUCACAUAUAUCAAACCGCUACAGUAUUUUUUCUACAAAAAAUUCAGAAAAAUGCAAUCCAAACCGGGCCUUUCGCAAAACCUUUUGGAGAAAAUUUCUUGUUCCACACCCAAUUCUAUAGUGGAAAUUUUCGCCGAGUUCGGACGUCAUCGCCACCGCUCGCCUUUGGCAGUUGUGGGUAGUGCCGCAACCAUUCCGUCCAUUGUAUUCCUCCUUUUGCCACUCACCCAUAGCUGCCUUACCCUCCUCCCCGGGUUGAUCAGGGAAGUUUCAUUGUCCAUUUUCUUUUCUUUUGUUCUUUAUUUCUUACAUUAAGGACAAUGUAAGAUUUAGAUGUGCGAGGCUAUAGUAUAGUGGUACCUUUUUAUUGAACUUUUUGUUAAAAAUUUCAAAGUUCCUUUUAGUUUUGUCAUUUUUAUACAUGUUUGAUGGCCAUUUGUGAUCAACAAUGGUUAAAUGUCUCAAACGUUUUCAUUGCUAAGGUUUUAUCUGAUAAUGGGUCAAGUAUGACAUGGUUGGGUUUAAGGCUAUCGUUUUGGUGAAUAUUUGAGGUUUUGUGACUUUUGUAAUUUUUGGUUAACUUUUCUAGGCAUUGUGAAUAUUUUUCUGUCAUUUGUCAUGUAAAUUGGUUAACUAUUAAUUUUAGUUCUAAAUGUUUGGGAAAUGAAACAGGCUUGUGCGUAUUUAAUUUUUAUUUUGGUGUUUAUUUGUGAACAAUAUUUAGCUAUACUCUGCUAGUUAUUAUUACCUAGUAAUCGGAGAUUUUCACAAAUGUCGACUUUCGCAUCAAAAAGUGGCGAUAGUUAUGAUUAUGUGGUCUUUAAAUGAUGAAAGCUAAGUAACCGAUCUUCUUUAUUUCGUAGAUGUCGGAAUUCACAUUAAAAGGCUUGAAUGGCUAAGGACUAAGUACUUUUCCUAAAAAAAAUUAAGAGAAAAAAAAAACUCAAGUGUGGAGAGCAUCUUAGAAAAGAGAUAUGCUAAUAGUAAAAAAUGAAAAGUGUGUAUGAAAGUGAAAAUAUGUGGAUGGUUAUAUUAGCCUGAUUAAUAUUAAGAUUUUGGUUAAUAGUUAAACCAUUUGCUGAUGAAUACUAGUUGAAUAUUCUAUAUCCUUAGAUUAGUUAGUCAGGAAUUGAAAGAGUUCAUGGCUUUAAAAUCUCAUCGGAGAGAUAUUUUUUGAGACUUAACCACUAAUGCUUGACGUGUGUUUUAUUGUAUCUUAGUAGUGGAUGAUUUGGGCGAUAGCCGUUGUUCCCACUUAAUUGUUUAAUUGGUUGUUCUCAUGCUUGAGGUCAAGCACGGUUCAGGUGUGGAAAGAAUUGAUUGGAUGCAUUUUUGUUCAUAAAUUUAUGAUUGUUUUUUCCUCGAUUUUAGCCAACUAUUGCAUUAAUUGAUGGAUUCUACUUAUAUUUGGUUAAUGGUGCUAAUUGUAGGAAAGUGAACAAAACAUGGUUAACUGGGACAAUUUUCUAGAAAACUCUUUACCAGUUUGACAUGAGUGAGGUUGAGGUCGAGACAUGUUGUCAAGUCCCAAAGGCUCUAGAUUUCACUACGUGCGGAGGUUUCUUAGUUCGAGUUGGACUCGGAGCAAAUUUUGGUUGAAGAUUUAGGAUAUAUCUUUAUUAGUUAUAGGAUUUAGUUGGGAAACAAUUGAAAUUAUUGUUUGAAGUUUCCUUUUCCACUUAGGAGUUUACUAUUGGUAGCUAUAAAGUAGGAAAAAGAAAAGGAAUUAGUCAGCCAGUUCUCGAUUGAUUAGUACUUCCAAAGAGAAAGACUUUUGGGUCAAGACUCUUUGCUUAGAAAAGCAAGGAAAUGGCAGACUUUUGGUUCUGGAGUUUUUCUGUAGUCGCAUGUCUCUAGCAGUUCAUCAAACUUUCACGUUGGAUUUUUUUCAACGAUAAACAAUUAAAUUCUUUUUCUAGUCAACUAUGAGAUCUAAUUAUUUCAUGGUUAGAAAAGUAGUUAACGGGCGUACUUUAACUAUCGAGAAAGUAAGGAAAAGUUGGUUGUUAUCACGUGUUUAACAAAUAUAACCUGUUUAUUAACGAAUAGAUGAAAUAAUUAUUGGAUCAAUGAAUAGUUGUAUGAACCACUUCCGAAGUUAUUUUUUUGGUUAGAACUUGUAUAUUAUUGAUUUAAAUUUAAUUUAUUCUGUUCAAUUAUUUUUAUUCACGGCAAUUAUUUAUUUUAAUUUCAAUUUCUCAAACCUACAUUUAAUUCUUGUUUGGAAGAAAAUAAAUCAUCCAAUUUCUAAGAAGACGACCCUACUCAUCCCAAUACUCAAAUUUAAGUUUUUAGGGUAGGAAUUUUAAUUUUGAUGGUUUGACACCCAUCAAAUUAGCAACCAAAGAAGGAAAGAUCGAUUAAUUCAGACAUUUGAUCACAGCAUGAUAUAGAAAAAUUAUCCUUGAUUAGUGUGAUACUGACCCGAGAACCAAAAUAAUUGAAAUGACGUAACUAUAACCCCUGAUUAGUGUGGAAUUGAUUAUAUUAUAUAUAGUCAGCUCUACAAAUAAUAGUUGUUUUCAAAGGCGAAGGCGCGCUCCAAGACGGGGCGAAGCAUAAUCACUUCAAGGUAUCCAAGUGAGGCGUUUCUUCUGGUGGGCAAACGCCAGUGUCGUCAUCGACUCUGAGGCGUCGCCCAGGGCGUGAAAAACGCACGCCUCAGGGGCGUAAAAAGCUCUGGUUUGAUAGAACAGAAAUUUGAAGGAAAAAAAUCAGAUUAUAAUUUAAAGGGAAGUAGUAACUAAAAAAUAGACGACAUAAAUAGGAUCAGUGGCAGAUUUAAGGUGGGGGCACGGCCCCUCUGCCCUCCUUAAAUUCCUAUAAUAUCCCCGUAAAAUUUUGAUAUAAUUUAAAAUGUGUCCCCAGAGUUUUAAGGAAGUAAAAGAAUUACGUCGUCCUUUAAAUUAGUUCAUGAACUAAUAUUCUAAAAGGAUAUAUGGGCCGCAAAGUUUCAUUUAAAAUAAUCUAAAAAAGACUUUUCAUUUUAAUUUGUUGGUUAAUAUUUUUUUACUUAAAAAACUAGAAAAAAAAAAGCAGGUAAAAAAGUUUUAGUGAAAAAUUUUAGUGUCGCUUUUGCUCCACUGAAAAUUUUUUCUGGCUUUGAUAGAGGUAAAAGAAUGAGGAGCCCAAGCAGUAAAUAAGCAAAGAGAAACGGAAUUGCAGAGUAAGUUUGGGAGAAAAAGAGGAGAAAGUGGAUAAGAAAAGAAACGACGUAAGAAGGAAGGAAAAGGAACGAGGCGCAAGAGGGUGGGACACUCUGUGAUAUGUUUUGCUCAUAAACCCAUCCACUUUUUUUUAUUUUCAAAAUUUUCCCCAUUUUGUGCAGAACUGGCAUAUUGCUUUUUUAACUGUUCAAAACUUAUGAUUGAGUCCUAAAUUAUUUAAAAGUUUCAUAUUUUGUUCUCCAGCAACCAUUAAUCGAAGUAAAUAAUUUACCUUAUAGCAGAAAAUUAUGACUUUACAAUAUUUCUUUAUAAUAUUACAGGUAUUUUAUUCUUAUUUGUUAAAAACUCAAAAAUUUGUGGGGCUUACGCUCCGUGCCUUACGACUUAUGCCUCACCUAAGUGGAGAUAAAACGCCCACCCAACGUUUUCAUCUUUUAAAACACUGACUAAUACGACUGUGAUACAGGUAAGAACUUAAAAGCAUAAACUGACAUAAGACUGGUUGUUAGAAGCAUAUUGUUAGAUACACAAAUAUGGGCUUUCCGUGUACAAAAAAGAGAUACAUAUACAGUCCAAGAUUUCAUGCGCACAUGAAUAUCUGUUUCAAAUAAAUUCACAAACCUCAGUCCAGCUUCAGGAAAUUAAAUUUCAUUGAUUUGGGCCAAAUGUGCUAAAAAAAAUUCACAAUAAGGAUUCAGUUCAUUUUGAAAAGCAGAGAGUGUUAAGUGAAAUUGUUAUAAAUCUCACUCGAACUUUGUCCAAUCUGUCCUAAUUUAUCUUACCAUAAACUUUUGUAUCGCUUAAUCCUGUAUAGGAGAUUUUCUUUAAUGUAAAUAGAAUAAGUAAUUUGAUUUAUCGAUGUUUGUAUCGGUUACAAAAUGUUUAUUCCAAAUAUUAGCCAGUCCCAAUUUUUUUCCAUUAUUAUUCAUCUAGAUCCAAAGCAAUUGAAAUUUAAGAUGACAUAAUAAUGACUCUUGUUGAAGACAAUUAAUUAUUUUUCUUGUUUGGUUCUAUCUCUCAUUGAGGCACCAAACAAAAAAUAAUGCAACAUCUACAUAACUUAAAGGGUUAAUUACAUAUACCUCCUUUAAGAUUUGGCAUAUUUGUGAAAUUUACCAUGUAAUUUGGUCAAAUUACAGUUAUACUUCAUAAAUAGCCAAAUGUUUUUCAAGGAUCCCCCUCAUAUAAUAAUGUUCUAGAAUAUUUCAUAAAUAGCCAAAUGUUUUUCAAGUAUCCCCCUCAUAUAAUAAUGUUCUAGAUCUUCAUAACUCUUUUGUAAUUUGACCUAAUUACAUUUGCCUCUCCUGAGCCUUGUCCAAAUCACAAAAGGAAUCUCAUUCAUUGUACAAGUCAUUGUCUAAACACUUUGAAUAACCAGAAAAUUAUUAAAAAAAGCCCCUCCACAUGUGUCAAUUGAUCUUAACUAUGUAAAUGGCAGUAACAUGAACAAGAUUUUACUGAAAUUCCUUUUAAAAUUUUUUUUUUCUAGGAGGAAGGGAUGAAAUUUAAGAAGUGGAGAGGGAAACGAGGAUUUGAAUCCAAGACUUUUAAGAUUUGAGAUUUGAAAUUCCUAAAGUAUCGUGUGCAUAAUCCUUCUUUCCUACCAUAAGCUACAAUUAGUUCAACCUAAACCCAAGUCAUGACGCAUCAUCAAUUAUAACAUUUAAGUCACCAGUGGAGUUGAUUUAGCCACCAAGUGUUGCUGAAACCAUUUAAAGCCUAGUCCAUCUCUUUCUUUUUUUUUUUUUUCAAUUUACUUCAUGAUUUUAGUCUCCAAUUUGAUUCGUUGUCUUUCUUCAUUAUCUUUGGUCUCCAUUUCGAUUUGUCAUGAUCAUCAAGAAGUCAUUUUGCAAGUAUACAUUCCUAUGAUAUUACCAAUCAUGUUUAAUUACUCAAUGCAAACGUGAUAAAAUUAAUUGAGACUAACAAUGACCUAAAACUUGCAAUUUUUCUUUCAAAAUAAACUAAUGCAACUUGACUUGGUUGAGCUAAGAAAACGGGAAAUAAAAUGUACAAGCAACGCAUAUGUAUACAUGCGUUUGUCCGAGGAUACGACAAGAGACACUAGAUUAGCAUCUAGUUACAAUAUACUUGUAUGGUUUUGCAUAGGUAUCUGCUUAAACCCUUGUAUUCUUGCAUUUAUCAACAUGAUUCCACUGUAGUUUUGUACAAAGCAGUUGGACAGUUAUUUAAUUUAGUACUUAAAUGAGGACGAUAUUGGCAAUCCACCUAAUGACAUCACCCAGAUUGUUUUUUGUCAAAGUUUCACUUUAUAUGUAAAAAAGAAAAGGGAUAAUUGCAGAAACCUCCCCUGAGGUUUUUAACAUUUGCACUGACCUCCCCUGUGGUUUAAAAAAUUACACUGAUCUCCCCUGAGGUUACUAUUCCUUUACAAAUUUAGUCCAAACAAUUAAAAUAUUAUUUUAGAGAGUGAAAUUAGAAUUUUGUACCAAAUUUGCCCUUUGUAUUACAUGUCCAAUGAAUGACAAAGUACUACAAAUCAAUUAACAAUUAAUAAACUUUAAGGAGUAUAGCCUAUAGGCAAAUACGCAUUGCCUAUUUAAAGUACCGGCUCUUUACGGGUAUUUUACUUUCAAAUAUUUACGCUCAAAUACGGAUUUGCAUUUACUUUCAAAUAUUUAAUUUUUGUUAAAUACGAAACCUACUAAUCUCUUUGCCGUAAAAAUAUUAAUAUAACACAUUUUCAAUUUUAGUUACAAACAUUUAUGUAUUUAAUAUAAAUUAAAUGAUUCAGAAUAUGUAUUUUAUUUUUCUUUUAUAGUACUUUGUAUUUAACAUAAAUACGUUUAUAUUUUAAUAGUACUUAUAUAUGGAUCUUCUUAACCAUUAAAAUAUUUUAAUACAUUUAUUGUUAAUGGAAUAAAUGUAUGAGUGAAAUACAGUAUUAUUUUAAAAUAUUUUAAAUACAAUAUUAUUAAAAUAUUUAACAAUAAUUACUGUAUAUAAGUAAUGUAUAUAAGUAUUAUAAGAAUAUAUAGUAUUAUUUUAAAAUAUAUUAAGAAUAAAUGUAUGAGUUAACAAUAUAUAGUAUUUUAUACAGUAUUAUUGUAUUGAGGUAACAAUAAUACUUUCAUCCAUAAAGUAUUUUGUUUGAGGUAACAAUAAUACUUUGAACCUCAAAAAAUAUAGUAUUUUAAUAGUAUUCUUAUUGUUACCUCAAAAUAUUGUUCACUCAUUUUAAGUACUGUAUAUAUUAUAAGAACAAUAAUACUGUAUAUAAGUACUGUAUUUAAUAAUAUUUUAAAUAUGAGUGAAAUAUUUUAACAUAUGUAUAAUAAUGUAUCUUUUAAAAUAUUUUAAAAUAUUUCACUCAUACAUUUAUUGUUAAUAUACUCAUAUAUUUAAAAUAUUUUAAAAUAUUUCACUCAUUUUAAUAAUACUGUAUUUAAAUGUUAAAAUAUUUUAAUAGUACUUAAAAUAUUUUUAGUAUUUAUAUAUGGAUCUUCUUUUAUAGUACUUCUUAACCACAUUUAUAUAUUUAUAGUACUUUGUACUUUGUUAACCACAUCUUAUGUUGCAAAUGGUACAAAAUAUGGAUCUUCUUAUCAUCAAAAGAACAAUAUUUUCACUCCUCAAAAUUAUGUAUUGCUUACAAACAUUAAAUGUAUUUAACAUUUAUGUAUUUUAGUUACAAUAUUUUCCUUUAUAGCACAAAGGAAAAAUCUGGUACAAAAUUCUAAUUUCACUCCCUAAAAUAAUAUUUUAAUCGUUUGGACUAAAUUUGCAAAGGAUUAGUAACCUCAGGGCAGGUCAGUGUAAUUUUUCAAACUACAGGGGAGGUCAGUGCAAAUGUCAGAAACCUCAGGGGAGGUUUCUGCAAUUAUCCCAAAAAAACACACACACACACACAAUGGCGUCCUAAACAAUGAGGAAGCAGGUGGCGAAAGUAAGUUUCCAGCAGUCAUGGCGGUGAGAAGAGUGGAAGGUACUUUCUUUCUUUUUUAAAUUCAUUCCGGCUACAAAAAGGUACUUGACAAGGAGGAUCACUAAUUGUAGGCAUGGGGACGAUGAGGUCUUUGUGGAUUUAGCGACUGCGCGAUUGUGCGUGGUGGUCGAAAGAGGUGAAGGGCUUUCUGAUUAUUCAAUAGUGAUAUUAUAUAUAUGUAUGUAUGUAUGUGUGUGUAUAUAACAAAUUUUGACUAGGAAAACUUAUGAACUAGAUUUCGAUUUCUCAUAAAAAAAAAUGUAGAGUUAUGUGUUAACUUCAAAAUGGAUCAAGAACCACCUCAAUCCGAUGCUUGUAGCUCAAAAUAUAGUUAAAAUAUCAAAAGGUGUCAAAGCUGCCUAACUUUUCCUCUUUAGAACUUGAUUUCAUUUCAUCUUUGCACUUCGUAUUCUCUUUAAAACCAUUUCAAAUAAUAAAAAAUCAUCCAAUUAUCUUCUCAACUCAAUCCAUUUGAUGAUUGAAUCAUUAAACCUACAAAAACAUGAAGUUUUCACUAUUAAAAUCCAUAGAAAUGCAAUUUUUGAUAUUUAAACCACAAAAUGCAAAUCUCACUGGAAACUUAGUUAAUUAGCUAUAAAAGUGAAUGAAACAUACUAAAACUAAAUAACAAAACACACUUAAAAUACAGAAAAUAUACACUUAUCAAUUAUGCUAACUAGAGAAGAAAAAUCGAGUAUACUUGGUACAAGCAUAAGCUUCAUAUAUGAUGCUUUAUUUUUUAUUUCGUUUCCCUUACGUUUCUUGAUAUAACGGAAUAAUGAAUGUUGGCUUUUGAUGCAUGGAAACAAAAAGCGAUUUUUGGAAUUUUAAUGCAUUUUUCCUUGCAACUUGUACACAUGCAUCAUAUAGGCAUUAUACAACACAACAAUAUUUGUCCAAAUUCAACUAAUAGAUAUGCCUAAUAAUUUUAAGGGAUAAUUGCAGAAACCUCCCCUGAGGUUUCUGACAUUUGCACUGACCUCCCCUGUGGUUUGAAAAAUUACACUGACCUCCCCUGAGGUUACUAAUCUUUUGCAAAUUUAGUCCAAACAAUUAAAAUAUUAUUUUAGGGAGUGAAAUUAGAAUUUUGUACCAGAUUUGCCCUUUGUGCUACAUAUCCAAUGAAUGACAAAGUACUAUAAAUCAAUUAACAAUUAAUAAAUUUUAAGGAGUAUAAUUUAUGGGCAAACACGCAUUACUCAUUUAAAGUACCAACUCUUUACGAUUAUUUUACUUUCAAAUAUUUAAUUUAUGAUAAAUAUAUCAAUAUUUGUAAGUAAAAUUCAAAAAUUGUUAUAGUAAUAUUCUUACAAAAAGGAAAUCGAUAGGUUAUUUAUUUAAUAUAAAUUAAAUAUAUUUUUUUAAAAAAAUAAAUGGCCCAUAAAGUAUUAAUUUUUUAUGGUUUUCAUCCAUUACAUGAGUAAAGUAUUCGCUUUUUAUGUGCAUUUUAUUCUGAAUCAUUUAAUUUAUAUUAAAUACAUAAAUGUUUGUAACUAAAAUUGAAAAAGUGUUAUAUUAAUAUUUUUAUGGAAGAGAGAUUGGUAGGUUUUGUAUUUAACAAAAAUUAAAUAUUUGAAAGUAAAUACAAAUCUAUAUUUGAGCAUAAAUAUUUGUAUUAAAUUAAAUGUUUGAAAGUAAAAUACCCUUAAAGAACCGGUAUUUUAAAUAAUUACCGACUCUUUAUAGGCAAACACGCAUUACUCAUUUAAAGUACCGGCUUUUUACGGAUAUUUUACUUUCAAACAUUUAAUUUAUGAUAAAUAUAUCAAUGUUUGUUAGUAAAAUUCAAAAAGUGUUACAGUAAUAUUCUUGCAAAAAGGAAAUCGGUAGAUUAUUUAUUUAAUAUAAAUUAAAUAUUUUUUUUAAAAAAAAUGACCCAUAAAGUAUUAAUUCUUUAUAGCUUUCAUCCAUUACAUGAGUAAAGUAUUGACUUUUUAUGGGUAUUUUAUUCUGAAUCAUUUAAUUUAUGUUAAAUACAUAAAUGUUUGUAACUAAAAUUAAAAAAGCGUUAUAUUAAUAUUUUUACGGAAGAGAGAUUGGUAGUUUUUGUAUUUAACAAAAAUUAAAUAUUUGAAAGUAAAUACAAAUAUGUAUUUGAGCGUAAAUAUUUGUAUUAAAUUAAAUGUUUGAAAGUAAAAUACCCAUAAAGAGCCGGUACUUUAAAUAGGUAAUGCAUAUUUGCCUAUAAACUAUACUCCUUAAAAUUUAUUAAUUGUUAAUUGAUUUGUAGUAUUUUGUCAUUCAUUGGACAUGUAGUACAAAGGACAAAUUUGGUAAAAAAUUCUAAUUUCACUCCCUAAAACAAUAUUUUAAUCGUUUGGACUGAAUUUGCAAAGGAUUAGUAAUCUCAGGGGAGGUCAGUGUAAUUUUUCAAACCACAGGGGAGGUCAGUGCAAAUGUCAGAAACCUCAGGGGUGGUUUCUGCAAUUAUCCCUAAUUUUAAAAUGAAGAGCAUGGCCCCUGUCCAACAAACUAGAGACUAUAAGAAAUUGUUUGUCACAAUGGAUGAUUACUUCUUGAAAGAAACGACAAUGACAUAAAAUAGCAUUUACACACCCUAUCUAAUGAACAAUGUUUUCAUAAAUUAAAUAAAUGAAGAGCAUGGCCCCUGUCCAAUAAACAAUGUUUAAAAAAUUAAAUAGCAAUUACGCACCCCUGUCAGUUUUGAAUAUAUGAAUGGUCAUUUCACACCUAAAAUCUAUCUGUGCAUUGGAAGUGCCUAUUAGAAAGCAUGAAAGACUGCUUUAAAAUCAUGUUAAAUUUCAUUGAUAAGCAUAUUCGUUCCAAGUUAUUUGGUUUAUAUGGUAACAGAGUUAAAUCACAAACUGCAUUAUUUUGUUGUUGUCUUUCUUUUUUCUUUUUUCUUUUUUUAGCUUUGUGGCUGAAUCAGAACUACUAAGUUUUUUUUUUUGGUCCAUCAACUAUAGGUUUAUGUGAAAGAGAAGUAUAAAAAUUAAACUUGCCAUUCUACUUGUUUAAACUUGUGGGUUAAUAACAAAAUCAUUCUUGCUUUAAAUUCACUUCCAAGUGCAAAAUUCUAGGUCCAUUACUGAUAACUUAUGGUUUACCUGCUUAAUUUGGUACGUUUAAACACGAUCGAUCGUCCUUGUAAUCAUUGUUGUUUUCAUCAUAUCGUACAUACCAUUUGUAAUCUCUUUCUGUACCCAAUGAUUACCACCUAUAUAUAUAUAUAUAUAUAUAUAUAUAUAGCAUGAUUAGCGGUUUUGUACUGAACUAUACUACAGUGUAGACAACUAGCUUUAAGGCAUUUAAAUAUACUAUUUUCGACAUGAUUGUAGCAUGAGAUAGACAACAAACUAAAGAAGAUUAUCAUACUUUGAAAGAAGCAAACCUCAUGGAUUUGAUUAUAAAAUCUGCCAUAAUAAUUCUAACCUCAGUUACAACUUGACAAAAAAAUAAAUAAGCUGAGAUAAGACUGGUUGUUUUGUUCACUGGUGCUUUCUGGUGCAGGCAAGAAUUGAAAGCAUAACAUGAGCUAAGAUUGGUGUUUUUUUUUUCUCCUUUGAGAAAAAUAACAUUGGUUGUUUGUUGCUAUUUACUGAUGUAAUUUUGCAGUGCAUGUCAGAUUUAGAUUUAUUGCAGCAAGACAUAUAAAUCAAAUAUGGAAAUCAUUUGUGUUCAAUAGAAUUAUCUGCACAUGACUAUUUGUUCUACACAAUAAUUUGUCUAAUGACUUUUACAAAUCCUGAUCCCACCAGACCCUCAAUUUGAUGCUCUAGAAAGACAAAAACUAAAAGUUUUUCAUGACAAAGAUCUACUGAUAGGCUGCAAUUUAUCUAUUUAUUUUAUUAUUAUUUUCCCCUAUUACCUGACUUGAUGUGGAUUAAUUGCUGGAUUCUACUCAUUUUUCUUAAUUUACGUAUACUUCAGGGAGUAGAACGAAAAUAUGAUAACAGAUGCCAAAUUGACAGGAAAAGAUUUCAGAUGAUAAAGCUUGUCCCAGGGGCACUUUUGGAAGAGGAGAUGUCACGCCCAUUUUGGUAAAUUUCGGAAAGGAAUGACGGACGGAGGGCUUCUCUUCCUGCUGUGAGCCGCCGCAAUUAAAAGAGGAAAAGGAGGAUCAGAUGCGGGGCUGGCUUUUGCUGAGUUUUUCGUCCUGUAGCUAGUUUCAAUUUUUGACUUGGCUUAGCCGGGAAUAGCCAUUCUCACGUAUGUGAGGAAAAAGUAGGAUCAGCCUUGACUUUUCCCUUUGUAGCUUUUAGGUGUUUUCUUUUUCUUCUUCCGUCGGAUGAGCCGACAAGCAAGGACAGUCCAUUGUACUCUGCAACUUUACUGUGCUUUAUUGUUUUGACCGGAUUGAAGUUGGGCAUUUCCUGAAUUGAUGGCCGCAGCUCUCUUUACAAUUUCUGGUGGGUUUAGCUCAUCAAGUAUGAACUAACUUUUCCCUUCUAGUCAAGGAGCAAUGGAGGCUCUGGUUCGCCUGAAAUUAUGAGAUCGUUUUAAUUUAAUCUUUUCCUUUUAUUUAUUGGUAUCCGCACAUUUCGUGAUUGUUAUGCUUAUGGUUAUUUAAUUAAUUGAUUGUCUUGGAUCCAGAUAAUUAGUUGAUUGGGUAAUCUAUUGUCAAUUAGGGCAUUAAAUCCGUAAUUGUUUAAUUACUCUAAAAUAGUGACAACUGGCAUGAUUAGAUUUGUGUCAGGGGAAUACGCGGGCUAAUCUAAAAUAACCCUGGUAGUGUGUUGUUUGGUUAGAAUAGGGCUCCUCUAAUACGUAAGGCAAUUGGGGAAUUAAAUUCUAUGGGCGUACCUAGGAUUAUUUCUCAAUUAGAGCAGUGAUUAACGGGCGUACCUUGAUCACCGACACAGUAAGGAGGGGUUGACUGUCAUCGCUUGUUUGGUAGUUAUAACCUAUUUAUUGAUGAAUAAUUGGAAUUGCCUUUGCUUAUCGAUGAUCAAUUAGGUGAACCAUUGCUGAAGUUAUUCCUUGGCUAGAUCCUUAAUUAUCAUUCAUUUGAUUUUAGUAAUUUGUUAUUUAAUUUUUAGUAGUUUCUUAGAUUUUAUUUGAACUUCUUUUACUGUCACCUUCUGCAUAAAAACACCCCCUUGUCACUGUGAAUUUGAAAAGGAACAAUUACUCCCAGUGCCUGUGGAUUCGACCCUGCUCACCGCUAUCUACUGAAAUUAAUUUUAGUUUGAGCAGGUAUUAUUAUUAUUGCACAGGCUGACGACCUGUCAUCUACUGCCAAUAUAUGCUUCAUAGUUGUCUCUUUGUUCUUUAUAGGUAAUAUGCUUCAUAGUUAUUCAUAGUUAUUCAUCUGUUCACAUCCAAUAAAUUCAAUUUUAACAGACUUAAUUAUACCUCUGGUUGUAGACCUUAUUAGCCCAUUUUUUCAUUUUUUUAAAGAUGAUUGUAGACCUUAUUAGCCCAUUUUUUCAUUUAUUUGGAUUGAAAAUCUCAGCAAACUUUGAAAUUUGGUGUAAACGUAACACAGUUAUUAAAGGAGUGGAAGAAUGGAAAAAAAUUAAAUAAAUAAAAAAUCCUAUUGCAGUGAUAGACUCGUUCAAUUAUAGGGAACUGUGUUUACUUAAUACAAACGUGACUAAUGGACAAUGGAUUAGCAUUGGAGACUUCACAAAACAGGCAAAGUUGUAUAAGUGACAAAUGCAGAAAGCAAGUUUAUCUAAUGUGUUACCUUUAAAAAAAAAAAUUUGUCUAUUAUGUUGAAAUACAAAACUGAAAAUAGCACAGCAAAACUUGUCCAAUUUCACCUUAUAUAGACGAUCGUAAGCGUUUUAAAAAUGAAAAUGUUGCCCCAGCUAGCUAAAACAAAUUGGAGACAAUGAGAAUCAGAAUAAAAUGUUAAUUCUAGUUCCCAAAAUUUAGCUUAACUCUUAUGGACAGUAACCAAGUAAUCAUGAGAUUCUUGAUUUAACCCCUACCAUUUCCUGUUUCCCUCUUGUAAGGUUUGAAAUCUUCCCUUGAACCAUUUGUCAAUUUUUGAAAGAAACAGCAGUAAAAUAAAAGAGUAUUCAUGUUCACAUUGGGAUUAUUUAAUACUCCAUUCUUAUCCAAUAACAAAACUAGUCAUAUAUUUGUUUUACUUCUCAAAAAAUUUAAGGGCAAAUUUCACUUUACCCCCUGUGGUUUAGUAUUUUUUUACAUAACCCCCAUAUAGUUUUAAAAAUUAUACAUAACCCCGUCAUGGUUUGGAUUAAAUGUCAAAGUGACAGAAAUGAACAUUCGUAACGGAGUCAUUUAAAAUAUAAAAAAUACCCUUAUGUAAAGUUGAAAAUUAUUUAAUUAUUAACCAAGGGGGGUUAUGUGAUAUUUUGAAAACCAUAAGAGGGUUAUAUGGUAAAGUAUUAAACCAUAAGGGGGUUAUAUGGUAAAACAUAAAAAUCAUACAGAGUUAGUGUGCCAUGUAUUUAUAAGGAUAAUUUCGAUAUUUUUAAAAGUUCCAUAACGAAUGACUAUUUCCGUCACUUUGGCACUUUAAUCCUAACCAUGAGGGGAUUAUGUAUAGUUUUUGAAACUAUAGAGGGGGUUAUGCACAAAAAUACUAAACUAUAGGGGAUAAAGUAUAAUUUACCCAAAAUUUAAUGAGGGCAAAGCUAAAAUUUUAUCAGAAUUGUAUGAAUGAUAACAAAGCUUUCAUGGAGCAGCCCCACAUUAAAUCUGCCACUGCUAUCAGUGUCACUUUCAUUCUAUUGUCACCUGCCUGACGAUUAUUGUACUCUACAACAUGGCUGAGAGCAAGAUUUGAGCAUUAAAAUUUAGCAACCAGAGGAGGAAAGAUAGAUUAAUUUGAACAUUUGACCACAGCAUGAUAUAGACAAAUUAUUCUUGAUUAAUUUAGGAGGAAAGAUCGAUUAAUUUAGACAUUUGAUGAAGCAUGAUGUAGACAGAUUAUCAUUGAUUAAUGUGAUACUGACCCGAGAACCAAAAAAAUUGAAAUAAUGUGACUAUAACCCCUGAUUAGUGUGGACUUGAUUAUGUAGUCAGCUCUAUGUACAGGUAAGAACUUCAAAGCAUAAACUGACACAAGACUGGUUGUUAGAAGCAUGUUGUUAGAUACACAAAUAUGGACUUUCCGUGUACAAAUAAGAGAUACAUUUACAGUCCAAGAUUUCAUGCGCACAUGAAAUAUUUGUUUCAAAUAGAUUCACAAACCUCAGUCAAGGUUGAGGAAAUUAAUAUUUCAUUGAUUUGGGACAAAUGUGCUAAUAAAAUUCAUAAUAAGGGAUUAAGUUCAUUUUGAAAAAUAGAGGGUGCUAAGUGAAAUUGUCAUAAGUCUCACUCGAACUUUGUACAAUCUAUCCCAAUUUAAGAUUUGGCAGAGUUGCAAAACUUACCAUGUAGUUUGGCCACAUUACAGUUACAUAAAUAGCCAAAUAUUUUUCAAGUAUCCCUCUCAUAUAAUAACGUUCUAGAUCUCCAUAACUCUUUUAUAAUUUGACCUAAUUACAUUUGCCUCUCUUGACGCUUGCCCAAAUCACAAAAGGAAUUGCACAAGUCAUUGUCUAAACACAUUGAAUAACCAGAUAAUUAUUAAAAAAAAAAAACUCCACAUGUCACUUGAUCUUAACUAUGUAAAUGACAGCAACAUGAAUAAGAUUUUACUAAAAUUACUUUUUUUAAAAAAAAAAUUUUCAUAGUAGGAAGGGAUGAAAUUUAAGAACUUUUAAGUUUUGAGAUUUGAAAUUCCUAAAGUAUCGUGUGCAUAAUCCUUUUUUCCUAUCAUAAGCUACACUUAGUGCAACCAAAACCCAAGUCAUGAGGCAUCAUCAAUUAUAACAUUGAAGUCACCAAAGGAGUUGAUUUAGCCACCAAGUUUUGCUGAAACCAUUUAAAGCCAAUUAGUGCGUAUCUCUUCUUUUUUCUUUUUUUUUUUCUCUCUAAUUUACUUCAUGAGUUUAGGUCUCCAACUCGAUUCAUUAUCUUUGGUCUCCAUUUUCAUUUAUCAUGAAGUCCUUUUGCAAGUAUACAUUCCUAUGAUAUUACCAAUCAUGUUUAAUUAAUUACCCACUACAAACGUGACAAAGUUAAUUGAGACUAACAAUGACCUAAAACUUACAAUUUUUCUUUCAAAAUAAACUAAUGCAACUUGACUUGGUUGAGCUAAGAAAACGGAAAAUAAAAUGUGCAAGCAACGCAUGUGUGUACAUGCAUUUGUCCCAGGAUAUGACAAGAGACACUAGAUUAGUAUCUAGUUACAAUAUACUUCUUGUCACUUUAAGUUCACCUACUGCAAAUGUGAAAAAUCAAUUGAGAAUAACAAUGACCUAAAACUUGCAAAAUUUUCUUUCAAAAUAAACUAAUGCAACUAGACUUGGCUGAGCUAAGAAAACAGAAAAUAAAAUAUACAAACAAGGCAGACGUAUACAUGGAUUGGUCCCCAGGAUAUGACAAGAGAUAGUAGAAUAACAUCUAGUUACAAUAUAUUUCUUGACACUUUAACUCACCUCAUAUAAUGUAAUUGUUGUUUUCAUCCUGUUUGUCACCUCUGUGACGAUUAUUAUACUCUAACAGUGAUAACAACAAGAUUUGAGCAUCAGAAAAUUUAGAAACCGGAGGAGGAAAGAUACAAUAUUAAUUUUAGACACGACCAUAACUUGAUAUACAAGAUAUAAUCCUUGAUUAGUGUGGAUUUAAUUAUAUAAUAACCUCUACAAAAAGUGUUACAAAAAAUAUCAAUAUUCUUACUUUCAAACAUUUAAUUUAUGGCUCUAUGCCCCUCCCUUUUUAUAAGAAUAUUACUGUAACACUUUUUGAAUUUUACUUACAAACAUUGAUGUUUUUAUCAUAAAUUAAAUGUUUGAAAGUAAAAUACCCAUAAAGAGCCGAUACUUUAAAUAGGUAAUGCGUACUGUAUAUAGUUUAACAUGCAAAUAGUCUGUUAAUUAGUUAGUUAGUUAAUUAAUUGAUUAGUUAAGUAGUUAAUUAGUUAAUUAGUUUAACAUGCAUAUAGUUUGUUAGUUUCGGACAGACAACAGCUUUACUUAAUUAGUUAAUUAGUUAAGUAGUUAAUUAGAUAAAUAGAAAUUAGUUGAUUAGUUAAUUAAUUAAUUAGUUAAUUAGUUAAUUAGUUAAUAAUUAAUCAGAUAAAUAGUUAAUAGUUAAUUAGUUUAACUAUUAACUAAUUAGAUAAUUAGUUAAGCAAUUGUCAAGCAAAUAAUAAUUGUCAAGCAAGAAGAGGGCAAAAUUGGAAGAAAUUUCUUAUCUCACUUCUACAAAAGCUGUCAGGGAGGUUUCUGCAACGAAUUGUUACUGUUCAGGGGAGGUGAAUGCAAUUUCAAAACCUAGAGGGGAGGUCAGUGCAAAUGUCAGAAAUCUCAGGGGAGGUUUCUGCAAUUAUCCCUUUAAUUAUAUAAUAACCAGUACUAAUACGACUUUCAAUCAGAUUUAAAAGCAUAAGCGAAGGUUGAUUAUCUUUUGUUAACUUAUUGCUCUAAUGGGGUUCUUUGUGGUGCAGGUAAGAACUUAAAAGCAUAAGCCGACACAAAAUUGGUUGUUAAAUUGAUUUUAAAUUCAUGAUACAGAGGACAAAAAAUCCUUGAUUAGUAUGAUAUCGACCAGAGAAAGGAAAAAAAAUGAAAUUGUGGGACGACUAACCCUUGAUUAGUCUGGAUUUGAUCAUAUAAUCAGCUGUACUAAUGCGACUUUUUCAGUUCAAAUGUAAAAGCAUAAGCUGAGAUUGGUUGUUAGUGUUUGUUGUCGUACUGGCCACUAAUGCUUUCUGGUAAGAACUCAAAUGCAUAAACUGACAUAAGAUUGGUUGUUAGAAGCAUAUAGUUACACUAGCUAGCGUAUGCAACUACGGCAACUGCCCCCAAGAUUUAGGAAUUCUUAAAUACCCAUAUAAAAAUUAAAAUUUUUGUUUUUUUUAAUCCUUCUACAAAUGAGACUUUGUCCCUACAAGAUUUUAGAAAUCUUUUUAUAUCCCUUUGACAUGUUCAAAUUUUUUUCCUUACUAUCCUUGAAAAUAUUAAAUUUCGCACCAGAGCUUUCUACAAAAGUAUAAGAAUGCCCCCAUAAGUGUAUUUAUUUACUACUCUUGCCUCCUUUCCCAAAAUGUUAACCUCUAAUUCCAGCAAUGGUUCGAUUCAUUUCUGUUGGAUCGAGAUCAAGGACCUGCUCAAGUUACUUAACACGGGUUCUCCAUGGACAGAUAUUAACUUUCUGUUUUUGUGUUCAAAUAGAAGAGCAGUUUAUGGUCCACAAUUUCAAGCAUACAUGAAUUUUUUACGAAUAAAUUCACAAACCUUCACUAGGGUCUAGGAAGUCAAUAAUCUUUCAUUAAUUAAGUGAAAUUGUCAAUAACCUUUACUAGGGUCUAGGAAGAGCUAAGUGAAAUUGUCAUUAAUUACACUCGAGGUAUGUACAAUUCCCUAUUCAUCUUAUCAUUACUUUAUUGACGUUUAAUCUUUCAUUUUUUUAAUGUAAACAUAAUCAACAAUUCAGGAAACCAAUUUUCAAUUUUUGCAAAGGUUGCACAGUUAACUCUUAUAGCCCUCUAUAUUUCACAAAUCCCUCAAAUUGAAGCUACUGCAAAUAUGAUUCAUAAUUAUUCAUCUGGUUACUUCAAAUUGAAAUUUAAGAUGAUAUGGUAAUGCCCUUUUGGUUUAAGACAACUAACUUUCCUUUUUGGUUUCAGUUAAUCUCUUGCCGAAUCACCCAAAAAAAAAGGAAAAAGAAAUGUAGCACCAACUUUGUUUAGAUCUUAAUCAUGAGUCAUGAUCAAUAAUUAUGUUUCAGUCGCCAUUCACCAAAGAAGUAGUUUGGGCACCACUACCAUUGGCGUAUUUUUUUUUUUUUUUAUCAGCAACGAUACAUUUGUAUAACAUACUCUAUCCUAAAUUAGGGGAGAAGGAAUCUAAGGAGGCUGUGGUAGGGGCUAGUGGAUAUACAGACCCAACUAAACCAACGGAGUGUCAUGGCACAACUUUUAGAAUUUUUUUCCGCUGCAGGUGAGGUUUGAACCCUCACCUACAACCCAAAGAAGGACCUAAGUUCUUCCCUAGUGGCCACUGAGCCAUUGGCCGAGUGGUUCACUACCAUUGGCAUACUUGACAUGGAGAUAAUUAAAUUUCAUUUUUCGGACACAACAAAGUUUUAACUUUAAAAUUAUGAAAGCCAUGGAUCAAUACAGAAGUUUCUCUAUUCCCACUGCUCAGUGUUAAGUUUCAAUGUUUCAAAGACACUUAUUUGGAGAUCAGAAGUUAAAAUUCAACAAAGAUACUUCGUCACAGAUAGAAAUUAACAAAAUAUUCAACUUUGAAUUAUUGAUAAAAAAAAGGAAAAUUUGAAAUUGACAUACUAAGUUUCACAAAAAUGUUUUGGAGGAAAUUUCUUAUUCCACAAAUGUCAUGGAUGAUUUCUAAAUAUUUGGGAAAAGUGAGUUCGGACUUGGGAGAGUAUAAUAGCAGGUGAGGUGAGCCAUGGGCAAGGAAAAAGAAGAGAGAAAGAGAGGUUAUCUUGAAUUCUUUUUCCCUUUCAUUUUCAAAAUUGUGGUGAUUUCUUUCAAGUUUAGUGUAAAUUUUUGAAACCUUUGUUAUUGAUAUUUGGCUAUUGAAAAGGAUAGCUACAUUAUUUCUAAUUAAGCAACAUGGUCCCUUUCCAUGAUUUGGACAAACCUCAAGGGCAUAUUUGUGAUUUUAAUUCUUUUAGCCGGGAUUGUGAAUUUUAGGGACUGAUCCUCAAGUUGCACAAACUUUGCUGAAAAAUAAAUGUAAUUAACCCUAAUCUAAAAGCGAUGAAUCUUAUCUACAAACUGUGAAUGAAGAUGAUGCAAAUCUAAAGCGGGGAUAAAAGAAACUUAAGCCUCUGUUUAUCUACAAAGUAAUGGAGACAGUAAUAGUAUCUGAGACUUGGAAAUUCCUCAAGUUUGUAGAAUUCUAGCACAAAUAACUUUUUUUUUAAAAAAAAAUAGAGGAUCAAUAGUAAUUCCUUAUUUACUCUUGUGAUAAUUUGAACUCGUACCUCUAUAGUAGUGGUUCGAGUCAGUGAUUUUUUUGUUUCAAAUAAAGCAUUUUACCAACUAGAUCAUAUUUCAUUGUGUCUAAUACAAUUAAGUUUUAGUUAUUAGUAGGUAUGAAGAGUAUAAUAAUGAGUUUACAGAUUACGCUUAAACUUUAUAUGUAAAUGACAGUAACAUGAACAAGAUUUUACUAAAAUUACUUUUCAAUUUUUUUUUCUAGUAGGAAGGGAUGGAGGGAAAGAAGGAUUUGAAUACAGAACUUCUAAGUUUGAGAUGUGCAUAAUCCUUUUUUCCUACCAUAAGCUACAAUUAGUGCAACCAAAACCCAAGUCAUGAGGCAUCAUCAAUUAUAACAUUGAAGUCACCAAAGGAGUUGAUUUAGCCACCAAGUUUUGCUGAAACCAUUUAAAGCCAAUUAGUGCGUAUCUCUUCUUUUUCUUUUUCUUUUCUCUAAUUUACUUCAUGAGUUUAGGUCUCCAACUCGAUUCAUUAUCUUUGGUCUCCAUUUUCACUUAUCAUGAUCGUCAAGAAGUCCUUUUGCAAGUAUACAUUCCUAUGAUAUUACCAAUCAUGUUUAAUUAAUUACCCACUACAAACGUGACAAAGUUAAUUGAGACUAACAAUGACCUAAAACUUACAAUUUUUCUUUCAAAAUAAACUAAUGCAACUUGACUUGGUUGAGCUAAGAAAACAGAAAAUAAAAUAUACAAACAAGGCAGACGUAUACAUGCAUUGGUCCCCAGGAUAUGACAAGAGAUAGUAGAAUAACAUCUAGUUACAAUAUAUUUCUUGACCUCUGUGACGAUUAUUAUACUCUAACAGUGAUAACAACAAGAUUUGAGCAUCAGAAAAUUUAGAAACCGGAGGAGGAAAGAUACAAUAUUAAUUUUAGACACGAUCAUAGCUUGAUAUACAAGAUAUAAUCCUUGAUUGGUGUGGAUUUAAUUAUAUAAUAACCUGUACUAAUACGACUUUCAAUCAGAUUUAAAAGCACAAGCGAAGGUUGAUUAUCUUUUGUUAAUUUAUUGCUCUAAUGGGGUUCUUUGUGGUGCAGGUAAGAGCUUAAAAGCAUAAGCCGACACAAAAUUGGUUGUUAGUAGCAUACUGUUAAAUUGAUUUUACAUUCAUGAUAUAGAAGACAAAAAAUCCUUGAUUAGUGUGAUAUUGACCAGAGAGAGAAAAAAAAAUGAAAUUGUGGGACGACUAACCCUUAUCAAUAAGCUGAGAUUGGUUGUUAGUGUUUAUUGUCACUAAUGUUUUCUGGUGCAAUAAACUCAAAAGCAUAAACUGACAUAAGAUUGGUUGUUAGAAGCAUAUUGUUAGAUUAGCUAGCGGAUGCAAUUACUAGGGCAACUGCCUCCAAGAUUUAGGAAUUUUAGGGACUGAUCCUCAAGUUGGACAAACUUUGCUGAAAAAUAAAUGUAAUUAAUCCUAAUCUAAAAGUGAUGAAUCUUAUCUACAAACUGUGAAUGAAGAUGAUGCAAAUCUAAAGCGGGGGUAAAAGAAACUUAAGCCUCUGUUUAUACAAUAAUAGUAAUGGAGACAGUAAUAGUAUCUGAGACUCGCUCUCUCAAGGUUGUACAAAUAACUUUUUUUUUUUAAGAAAAAAUAGAGGAUCAAUAGUAACUUAUCACUUACUCUUGUGAUGAUUUGAACUCGUACCUCUAUAGUAGCGGCUUGAACCGGUGACUUUUUGGUUUCAAAUAAAGUGUUUUAUCAACCAGAUCAUCUUUCAUUGUGUCUAAUACAAUGAAGUUUUAGUUAUUAGUAGGUAUGAAGAGUACAACUAUGAGUUUACCGAUUAGGCUUAAGCUUUAUAUCGUAGAAUGUACAGCACCAGAACAUUGGUCCUGUUCAAUUUCAGCUACUUAGGACAGUGGCCCCUAAACAAAUAAAUUAGAAUGGAUAAAGCAAAUUGCUUUGUCACAAUGGACGGUUGCUUCUUGUAAUAAACAAUAAUAGAACGGAAAGGCAGACCUUUUGUAUCUGUUCAAUUAAAAAAUGAGCAGGACUCAUCUUGAUAAUCACUUAUAAAUACACAGCCCUUGCAACUUCAUCAGUCACUCAGCAAAAACUUUUCUUCCUCACUUCAAAACUUGCCAAAAAAAAAAAAAGCAUUUCUGCCUCUGAAAGGAUGGCUGAGAAUCUGCUUAUGAGUGCCUCAGUGGAGGUUUUACUGCAGAAAAUAAUCUCAGUCACUACUGAAAACAUUAACCUUGUUUUUGGUGGUCCUCAAGAAAUCUCAUGCCUAAUGGAGAACUGGUUUUCCCACUCCAGUGAAGAGACUAAUGUUGUGCAGGCCAUCAGACAAGAGUUGGAGGAAUUGAAAGGAUCUUUAUCCAACAUCCAAGCUGUCUCACAGGAUAAUCUGAGGCUGCAGGACAAGGCUGUGAUCGUUACCCUUUGGCUGCAGAAACUUUCUGAUUUAGCCGAUGAUGCUGAUAAUGCUUUGGCAGAGUUCGGCUAUCAAAUUCUCCAGCAUGAGGUGGAGAUGCUGAACCAAGAAAAACCAAAGGUAAGUCUCUUCUCCUGUCACUCUGAUAAGAAGGCCUUUCGCCAAGAAAUGAUGCCUAAAGCAAGAGGCAUCAGUAAUAAGCUGGAGAUGAUCAAUAAAGAAGUGAAAGACUUUUUAGCUUCUGAGAAAUAUGGUGUCACAACUGCUUCUUCCCCUCAGGUAGAUGUAGUUCAGGAGGUUGGCUUCUUGAUUGCUGACCUGAAAAUCACAGAAAAUGAGGAAAAGACAUCUAUAGAAAAUUUCUGGUCCAUAAUAAAAGAAAAGGCAGGUGUAAGUGAUGAAAUACCAAUAGGCCUGAAGGACAUAGGAAGGCACAUUGCAGAAAAGUGUCAAGGUCUGUCUUUAGCAGCAAAUUUACUUGGAGGUUUGUUACAAAACAAAAGAAGGGAUUUCUGGUUGUCAAUUUUAGAAAGCGGGGUAUUAGAUAAAGAAGAUGUAAUCUCUGCGAUACUCAAAUUGUGCUUUGAAAAUCUGCCAUCUCCAUUCCUCAAAAGAUGUUUUGCAUUUUGUUCGAUGUUUCCAAGGAACUCUGUUAUAGAAAGGGACCAGCUAGUCCAGCUUUGGAUGGCUGAAGGAUUUAUUGACCCAGGGUUGGGGAUUUCUGUGAUGGAAGAAAUAGGAAAUCAAUACUUUGACACUUUGUUGCAGAAUUCUUUACUUGAAAUUGUAAGCAAGGAUAACUUCAACAAAGUAACACAUUGUAAACUGCAUAAUCUUGUCUAUGAUUUUGCAUAUUCUCUAUCAAGCUUCGAGAGCAUCACCAUCGGCGAAAGAGAUCAAGAUGACAUUCGUCAGAUUCAACACCUUGCAUUGGAGUCGUUUACAGAGGAAACCAUGAAGAUUGCCAAGGAGAAAGCAAGAUAUUUGAGGACAUUAUUCCUAAAGAAAAAUUUACCUGACAAUAACUUGCUAAAUCUAAACUUCUUGUAUGUUUUAAACCUCUGUGAUGCAGAUAUAGCAGAAUUGCCAGUAUAUGUUGGAAAUCUAAGGCAUUUAGAAUACCUUGAUCUCUCGAGGACAGAGAUAAAGUCUAUACCCGACUCUGCCUGCAACCUUUACAAGUUGAAGACAUUGAGGAUCAUUGGAUGUAAUUCUCUUGAAGAACUCCCAAAAGAUUUCAAGAAUUUGCUAUGCCUGAGACAUCUUCACUUCUAUUAUAAUGAGUACUUCUCUAUGCCAUAUGAGUUUGGGCGAUUAAGUCACCUUCAAACACUGCCAAUCUAUAACGUGGGAAAGAAGUGUGGUCCUCCAAUUGGGGAGCUGAAGCACUUGAAAGAUCUCAAAGGCAAGCUGGAGAUACGAAAUCUUGAUCUUGUGAAAGACAAAAAGGAAGCUCAGCUAGCAAAUCUAUUUGAGAAACCGAAUUUGCAGGAGCUGGAGCUUCGUUGGAUUGAUCCUGAAAAAGAAGAAAGAGAAGAUCCAAACAACGAUGAGAAUGUGCUGGAAGGCCUUGAGCCUUACCACAAUCUGAAAAGCUUAAGGAUCGAACACUUCAAAGGUGACAGAUUCCCAUCAUGGGUAAUGAAGAUGUCUGUUAAAAGAGGCUCUUUGCAACUUAACAAUUUGGUGGAGGUAAAACUGGAAAGCUGCACAAGAUGCAAGGAAAUCCCAACACUAGGGACCCUACCGCUUCUCCAAAAUCUUGAGAUAGUUAAACUCUCAGAAGUUAGCUGCUUUGGAUCAUCAUUUUACGGUGGCAAUGGAUCAAAUACCAACACCAGUGAAACUCAAGCUACAAAAUCAUUCUUUCCAGCACUCAAAAGCCUCAUAAUAAACAACAUGCGAAGCCUACUAGACUGGAAGGGACCAGAAGAAAUCUCUGCAUCUUAUGAAGCUAAGACGUUUAAUAGCCUUGAGAGAUUAUUUCUUAGAAGGGAUCCAAAGUUGAUGACUGCUCCAAGUCAUUUCCCUGCACUCAAGGUACUGAGGGUUGAAUCCAUCAAGAGCAGCUCGCCACUGGAGAGUAUAUGCAAUUCCAAGCUGACCACCCUCACCAGUCUCCAUGUUGAGGAUGUACAGGAGCUAACUUCUCUUCCAGAUGAGUUGCUGGAAAACAACACCAAUCUUUCUUAUCUAUGUAUUAUAAAGUGCCACUCUUUGACACACAUUGUUCCUCAUAUGUCCGGUUGCAGUGCAGUGCUCCAAGAGUUGGAGAUCAAGGAAUGCGGGGCAUUACAAGAAUUUCCACCAGAAAUUUGUUCACUCAGAUCUCUCAAAAGGUUCGAGCUAUCAUACUGCCCUAGUAUCAAAUUAUUUCCAAAUUUGAAUGGACAGGGAGGCCUUCCAUCCCUUCAGAGCUUGACAGUUUCUGAGUGCCAAGGUUUGAUCAGUAUACCAAGUGAGGUAUUGGAGUCUUGCAAGUCUCUCCAAUACCUAUGGGUGACAGAGUGUGAAAAUCUCAUCGAGUUUUCUCCAAAUUUUCAACAAAUGCCUAACAUUUCAUUCAUGAGAAUUACUUCCUGCCCUAAGUUGAAUACCAUGCCCAAGGGGCUUGGUGCACUUAGCAACUUGGCUGACCUCAGGAUGGGUCCUCUUUCAAAUUCAAUGGAGUUUGAAACAUUCCAAACAUGUUUUACAGGGCUUCAACAGCUUUCUUCACUUGUUUCUCUAUUCUUAGUCGGGCAGCAUCACUGGAAUUCUUUGCCUGAAGAGCUUCAACACCUGACUGCUCUGAAAGAAAUGACUUUAUAUGACUUUGGAAUAGAAGUUUUGCCAGAUUGGAUAGGGAAUCUUUCCUCCAUUCAAAGUUUAGCCCUCUCCAAUUGCCGAAAACUUGAGUCCUUUCCCUCCAAAGAAAUAAUGGAAGGCCUCAAGAAUAUGGAGUACCUGGAUAUCGAGGACUGUAAUCUGCUAGCAAGGAAAUGGAUGCUGCAAAAUGAACCAGAUUCUGAAUGGUUUAAAGUUUCCCAUAUUAAGCUCGUCAUUCUAGAUUAUGAAGAAGUUUCAGAUCCAAUCAUCUGGAAUAUGUAAGUGCUUCCAAAACUAUCCAUUUUACAUUUUACUCUUAGGAAGUUUUACAUUCUUUACUUGCAAAAAAAAAAAAAAAAAUCUUUACUUACUGCAAGUCCAAUCUAGUAUAAUAUUUACUGUUUUUCUUUUCUGUUUAUUCCACUGCAAACCUUAAUUAUGCAGGAUCCAUAGGAUGAUGGAAAAGCGAAUGCAAAAGAGAAAUAACGAGGAAAAGAAGAAGAAGAAGAAGAAGACGAAGAAGACAAAGAAGAAGACAAAUUCAAGUACUUCAACUAGCUGAAAAGUUGUAGUAGAAGAUUGCCAAUAAGGGAUAAAUAUCCUUUAGGAUAAGAUGAAGUUUGUUUGUUUUAAACUCUUGCAUAAAGUAAGACAAAUUCUUUUGAACUUAGAAGUGCUUUUUGAGAAAGUUCAAAGUAAUAGGAAAGUGAUUUUUCGUAGCAAAUCACUCUCUACUUGGCCUCUUUAUAUAGGAGAGAUUGUUUAAGAAAUAAAAGAACUUAUUAAAUACUUGUAUGAAUAAAUUCAAUAUAUUAUGUACAAAUUCAUUCACUUUAAUUCAUACAUUCAACCUAGAGUAUUUUGAAAUUUCGAAGAAUAUUGUAAAUUGUUUGACUGCACCAAGCUCAAUGAGCUCUUAUUUAGCAGGUUCACUAUAGUAAAAGGCAAAGCUGAUCAGUACAAUCAUGCAAAGCUAAUUCAUACGAAGUUAGUUUGAUUCAUCUCGCAAUACAAUCAAUUUAGUUGAAUUAGCUUUGCCAAAAAUGUAUUGCGAGAUGAAUCAAAACUAACUUUGUAUGAAUUAGCUUUGCCAAUCAUAAACUAACUUUGUAUGAAUUAACUUUAGGAUUCAUCUCGCUUUGCCAAUCAAUUUAUUAAUCCUAAAGUUUUAGUGAAAAGUAAUUUGGUUGUUGAAUUAUUCAAUUUGCCAAAAAUGUGGACAAUCGCAAAAUUCACUUCAAAAUUAUACAAAAUUUGGCACACGUGACUCUUGCCGGCAUAAGUCAAUAACAACAGAUAAAACUCUCUGUUUUCUCUUAAUUAUUUUGUUGAAAAAAAUACUAUUUUAGCAAGGAGAAAAGCACGUCUCACCAAUAAUUGAACCAAAAAAAAAGUGAAAAAUACAUACAGAUAAAACAUACAAGCAACCAAAAAUUUCAAAAGUACUUCAACAAUCAACUUAUACUCUUUUCAGUCUACUCUUUGGAAGACAACGUUGGAACUUGUACACAUGCAUUAUAUGACACAAGAAUGUGUCCAAAUUCAACUAAUAGAUGUACCUAAUCAUCUUAACAAUGAGAGUUAGGCUCCUCAUCCAAUGAAUGUAAUAUUACUCACAGGAAAAUUGUUUUUGUCAAAAUGAAUGGUUUAUUCUUGAAAUAAAAACAACAAUGAGGCAAUCGAGUAUAUUGACGUUCAUAUUAGAUUUUUAAUCCAUAUGAGAUUCUUUUGUUUCUAGUAAUUACAAAAUAUUUUCAUAAGAAAAUAUAUUACUCUAUUUAAAGAUGGUAGCAGAAGAUGGAAGAAUUGUACACCAAAACAAAGUGGACUAGAGACAACCAACCAACUUUCCACCGUAGAAGCAACCAACCAACUUUCCACUGUAGAAGCAACCUACCUAAUCAUAAAUAAAUGAAGAGUUAGGCUUCUCAUCCAAUGAAUUUAAUAUUACUCACAAGAAAAUUGUUUUUGUCAAAAUGGAUGAUUUAUUCUUGAAAAAAAAACAACAAUGAGACAACAGAGUAUUGACGUUCAUAUUAGAUUGUUAAUCCAUAUGAGAUUCUUUUGUUUCUAGUAAUUAUAAAAUAUUUUCAUAAGAAAAGAUAUUAUAUUACUCUAUUUAAAGAUGGUAGCAGAGGAUAGAAGACCUAUACACCAAAACAAAGUAGACUAGAUACAGCAUCAUCAGUUCAUCAAACAAUGUCAAUGUCAAGAAUUGGUGAUUCCCAGAAGAGAGCAGUUGCACAUGUAGCUCUGUUUCCUAGUGCAGGAAUAGGCCAUUUGGUCCCAUUUCUGAGAUUGGCAGCCAUGCUUGCUUCUCCUAAUUGCCAAUGCAGAGUUACGUUGAUUGCUGUUCAGCCUCCAGUUUCUGCUGCAGAGUCCAACGAAUUGUCUACCUUCUUUGCUUCCCACCCUCAAAUCAAUCAGCUUGAUUUUCAUCUCCCAAUUCCCAGCAGUCCAUCCGAAUUUGCAGACGCUGAUAAACCUGAUCCUUUCUUUGCUCGAUUUCUAGCUAUUAGUAGCUCAGUUCAUCUCCUGCAUCCUCUCCUGGCUUCCUUAUCUACUCCGCCUCUAUCAGCCAUCUUCGCUGACUUUGCUGUUGCAGCCGAUAUCAAUCGUCUAGCUGAUGAAUUAUCUAUGCCCCUUUACAUUGUAUCCACCACUUCAGCUAGAUUUUUUUCACUUAUGGCUUGUCUUCCUGACUUGAUACUCGAAAGCAAAAGUUCGGAAGACUCUAGCAUUCAGCUUCCGGGUUUAGCUUCGGUGCCAAUUUCAAGCCUUCCUCCUCCCUUCUUUACUCCAGAUCAUAUUUUCACAGCCCACAUCCGUUUAAAUGCUCAAUUCCUCUCGAAAGCCAAGGGUAUUCUACUUAAUAGCUUUGAUUGGUUUGAGUCUGAAACAAUUGCUGCAGUAAAUACUGGCAAGGUGCUGGCUCAUUUACCUCCUUUUCUCCCCAUAGGACCAUACGAGCCUUGUAAGGCUGUCGUGAAAGCUGGCUCUUAUCUGCAGUGGCUAGAUGGCCAACCAAAUGAGUCUGUAGUCUAUGUUAGCUUUGGAAGCAGAACAGCAUUGUCAAAGGAACAAAUAAGAGAACUAGGAAAUGGACUGGAGAGAAGUGGAUGCAGAUUUCUUUGGGUAAUAAAGACUACCAAAGUUGACAAAGACGAGAGGGAAGAUCUGCAAGAUUUACUUGGCAGUUCAUUUCUUGAAAGAACAAAGAAGAAGGGGCUAGUUUGUAAAGCAUGGGUGGAGCAAGAGCAAGUUUUAGCGCAUCCAGCAAUCGGAGGAUUUGUAAGCCAUUGUGGGUGGAAUUCUGUAACUGAAGCAGCUCGUUAUGGGGUGCCUAUACUGGCUUGGCCUCUAAAUGGAGACCAAAAGUUGAACGCAGAAGUGACAGAGAAGGCAGGCCUUGGAGUAUGGAUGAGGCAUUGGGGUUGGCUGGGGGAGAACCUAGUGAAGGGAGAGGAGAUUGGGGAUCAAAUUGUCGAGUUGAUGCAGGAUAAAACAUUGAGGAUAAAGGCAAAGAAGGUGAAGGAAGAAGCUAGGAAGGCCUACGAAGUUGGUGGGAGUUCUAAGAAAGUGCUUCUGGAAAUCAUAGAAAAUCAUUGAGCUGAAGCCAGAAGAAUGAAACUUGAAAUGGGCAGAAUCCAGAUCACUGGUAGCAAAAUUUAGCUGAGAACUCCGAUAAAUUACUGUUAUCUACUGUCGUAGAAGCAAAAUUCCCACUUUUGUGCUAUUUUUUAUCCUUGAUUUGUUGUCAAUUACUCCAGAAGAUAUUUCUCUUCUUCUCUUUCUCUACUUUUUUCCUUUCUUUCUAAAUACAUUAUUAUGAUAUCAACAAAUAAUCCUUGCUUCGUGUAGAAUUGACCUGAUAGAAGGAAAAAAAAUUAAAAUGAUGAUACAAAUGACCCUUGAUUGGUGUGAACUUGAUUAUAUAAUCUUCAUACUAAUGCAACUUUACAGUUUGGAACUUAAAAGCAUGAGCUGAGAAGAUUGGUUGUUUUUGUUUAUUUCUGUUCACCGGUGUUUUCCAACCAGCUGGUCAGAUUCAUUUCUAUUAUGAUAAUACAUAGAGACAGAUUGGUGUCAAGGUCUGCUCAAUUUUACUUUCACUGCCAGUCAAUGCACAAAUAUUGAAUUUGUUUUCCCACUCCAGUGAAGAGACUAAUCUUGUGCAGACCAUCAGAGAAGAGUUGGAGAGUCUGGAAGGUUCUUUAUCAAUCAUCCAAGCUGUCUCGCGGGAAAAUCUGAGGCUGCAGGACAAGGCAGAGAACAUCAAGGUAUAAUGCUGAUGAAAAUCUCCCAGCAUGAGGUAGAGAUCUUGAACCAAGAGAAACCAAAGGUAUGCUUCUUCUCCUCGCAUUCUAAGAAGAAAGCCUUUCUCUAUGAAAUGUUACCUAAAGCAAGAGAUAUUAAUAAUAAGCUGAAGAUGAUCGAUAAAGGAAAUGAACACUUGUGUAGAUCAAAAGCACAAGGGAACCAGCAACCAUCAGUUUAUAAUCAGCACAAGGGAAACACAGGAUUUAAGAAGCAGGGAAGUGACAGAGGAAUUAGAUACCAGGACCCAUAAUUUUGUUUCAUCCCUUCUUAUUUGGUCAUUGUGAAUUCUUUCAGCUUUUUGUAUUUUUUUUUUUCAUAUUCUACUCCUUUGCAUCUCCAAUCUCUCGCACAGAGGGUGAUCUUGGAAACUUGAAAAUCUACUAUAAUCCGCUAUCUUUUACCGUGAUGAGCAUAUAAUUUCCAGGCCAAAAAAAAAGAAAAAAAAAAGAGAUUAAGAGAUGCAUUCCAACCGUGUAAAAAUGUUGUGUUUUGAGUAUGUGAGCACUUGAAAUGCAUUAUUUUAAAUAUGAUUAGAUGAAAAAGGAUGUUAUCUGGAUGUAAGGAACUAUUUGUUCAAUUUUCCUUUUUAGGAUCUUCUAUCACUUCUGUUUCUACACGCCUUUGUGUGCCUUUUAUUCUCUUCAUGUUCAUGGAUUACUUUGUAUGAUAUAUUAUGAGUUACGAGUUCCCCUCUCAUGCAAUGAAAAUUAAUCACUUAUUAGGCUUUUAGGAUCCUGUUUAAUGUUAAUAAAAAUUUGAUGCUUCUAAGUCUAAAUAUUAGAUUGCUUUAGAACUUCUUUCAGACAAAUACUAAAUAUCUUGCUCUACCAGCUGACCAAUGAAUGCUGAUACAUCAACUUAAAAUGUACCAAAAGAUAGUCUUCUUCCAUUGGAAAAUAAACAAUAAUAGUAAAACAGUUGUAAUAAUCUAUUUCUACACUAAAAAAUUAGCCAACGUAAAAGAAAAAAAGGAGAAAGGAAAACAAAAUAUUCUAAAAUAUUCGCUAGGCCUCAGGUUAUUAAUACUAAUACGGAUCGUCAAGAUAGCAGUAUUGCAUAAUCUUCACCUAAGUAGUGAAUUAAUAAAAUCAGCUCCUCCUUCCAUGUAUAAACUUUAAGCUGAAAUAGACAAGACAUCUGAACCCUGCUGGACCACAAUAUAGGCCGAAUAAGGGCAUGUAAAUUAUUAUUGCAAUUUCUUUUUUGCUUGAUUCGAAAUUUUUCUUUGGGUAAAAUACGCUUUAGCGAUUUUACACGUAAUGCUCCCAGGAUUUCAAAAAUUAUACAUAAUUCUCUCAUAAUUUGGACUAAAAUGUCAAAAUGAUAGAAAUGAUCCUCCGUAAUGAAACCCACAGAAAUAUCAAAAUUAUCCUUGUUUAAAAACUAAAAUAAAAGAAGUAAUUUAAAUAUAUAAACAUAAUAUGCAUGACAUUUUUACCCUUUAUAGUUUUAUAUUUUACCAUAUAUCUCCAUUAUGAUUUUUGAAAUAUGUGCAUAACUAGCAUGUGAUUAAUGAAUAAUAUCCAACUUUAUAUAGGGUACUUUUGACAUUUAAGUUGAAUCAAUUAUGGAAUGCAAAUUCCGUUAAUUUGACACUUUCGUCCAAACAAUGGGAGACUUAUGUAUAGUUUUUUAAAACCAUAGUGGAGUUAUGUGUAAAAGUGCUAAACCACAGGGAGUAAAGUAUAAUUCACCCUUUUCUUUUCUUGUGACACAUUUAUAUUAUGCAACGGAAAUUUGUGGCAAGUUCUGACUAAUUAAAUUAGUUCCUUCAUUUGAGAUUUGUAUUUGUUCUGAACAAUUAUUGUUUUAUCAAUAAAAGUGACAAACUUGUCAAAAAAUAAGAUAAAAUAACAAACUAAAAAGAAAAUAUGGAAUUGAUGGUAUUCUUUUCUUUUUCUUUUUCCAAACGAUAAAAGAUUUGAUGGUAUUCUUUUCAAAUUCAACAUAUUUUAUGAUCACUACAGUAUUCAAAAUGGUUUAGCUGCUUAAAACAAUGAGUUCAGCUUUCCAGUCUUGACUAUUCUUUAUCUACAGAUUCACAACUUUUGCCGAUCCACUACCUAAUUUCUAAAAUACUGAGUCAAAUAAUUAAACUAGCAGAUGAGUUGGAUACUGCAUUGGGCUGGAAAACAGAAAGUCACCACAUAUUAUUAUUUGCAAGCUAAUGGAUUCCGCCAAAGUUUUACAGACUACAACUAGUGCCAAUAUUGACUGUGCACCUUAGACUGAGCUUCUCAUCUUAUUUGGAUUCAAAAGUUAAGAUUGAAGGAGUCGAAAUCUGGAUAUUGGGGGUUCUAAAGCAAUUUUUGCCCCAAAAUGCAUCAGCAUAAAGAACUUAAAUUAGUUCUAAUCCUUUUCUGGUCCCUCCUUACCCUCCUCCCAAGAAACAAAAAAUAAUUCCAAAGUAAAACUAAAUUACAAAGCUUAGUUUUCUUUGUUCCUUUUGUUCUUCAAGAUCAAAUGCAGACAUCAAUUAACUUGCUCUUUUCCAAAAACGCAAUUUCAAAAAGUAUUGCUUGAAAACUACAUUUUGUGCUUCCUUUUUGUUUCACUGUUAUAUCCUUUACUUUUAGGAACACAAAAAAGUCGAGAGGAAUAAUAUUUUAACUUGGAAAUAUUUAGUAACUAACGUUUUAGUUUCUAAAAAGUACACUAAUGUAUAGUUUGGCUACACUAUGUUUUUAACUAAACCAUUACCAUUUUCCAUUUCCCUCCUCAGAUAGCAUGGACAAUUACCUUAAAUCAUGUUAAGUUUCAUUCCCAGACCACACAAUCUGUUCAAGUUAGUUGGGGUAUAUUGUAACACAUAUAAAAGACACAAUCACAACACUUUGUUUCUGGCUAUAUAAAAUUAUUGAACUUUUUCCUUGUACUUCCAGUUUAAACUUGUUAUUCUACUUUUGAAACUUGUUAGAGUAUGGUUGGAUCAUUUCAACUUUUAAGUUUAAGAUCAGCUUCUAUUGCAAAACUCUAGCUCCCCUACAACCCAUAGCUUCUAUUAUCAUUUUGCUAUCCUAAAGUUUAGAGCUACUUUCAGUCUCCCUCACAGCAUUAUUCUUCAAGCAUUUUAUCUCUAAACCUAACACUCACACUUGACGUAGUUUAGUGAUGCAAUUAAAAGAUACAUUUAGCCCUUAGAGUCAUUACUUUACCCUCUUAAACUAUAGAGCUAUUAUUAGGUUACCUCCUAACAUAAUUUUUUUUUAUGUAUUUUACCCAUUAAAAUAGUUUAGCAUGUUGAUAAAUUUUGGACAAAAGUACCUUUCUCUUUAUGUAAUAAAAAAUAAAAGAGUAAAUCUUUCCUACACUGACGGUGUAUACACUAUCAGCGUUGGAUUCAUGACAUGUGUGCAAAAGUUGAAUUUCAAAUUCAAAUUUUGCAUAGUUGUCAUUCAUCCAACGCUGAUAGUGUAUACACUGUCAGUGUAGGAAAGAUUAAUCCAUAAAGAUAUUAUAAAACUUUGAAUUAUUCUUCACCAUUUUUCCCACUCUCUUAAAUACAAAGGGGUGAUUCUCUUUUUUUUUUUUUUGGCACUCUUAUCAAUAUUAAGAAAAGCAAGAGACGGGAAAGAAUUAGAGGGAAAACUCAAUUCUGGAAAGAAAGAAUAUGAGAAAGAACAUAGCAUUCUCAGUAUACUUUUUAUCCUAGUAGUAUUGAUAGUUAGCCUUGAGGCAUCAGAGUUCGAGGGCAUAUAGGCAAAUGCGCAAAGAUGAUUGUUACAUAUUCAACGAAAGAAAUUAUAUGUUCACAAACUCCCCGCGCAAAGUUGAGUGGAUAUGGCCUAAAUUAUAAGUUGACAUUGACCUGAGAAAAGAGGGGCUAAUAUUAUUCAUCUGUUUGCAAUAAAAACAGUUUAAUUAGGUUAUGCCUCUGGUUGUGGAAAAUGACAUAAAGCUUGGCAAUUUUCUUUCUGUGACAGAGACUAAAGCAACUUGAUUUCUUGAGAAGACGACAAUAUCGGACAUCAGAUUGCACAAGGAGACUUCACAAUCUACUUUUUUUUUUUUUUUUUUUUUGGGUUUAAGGGCAAAAUUCACUUCACCCCCUUGUGGUUUAGCAAUUUUUCACAUAACCCCCCUAUAGUUCUAAAAAUUAUAUAUAGCCCCCUCAUAAUUUAGAUUAAAGUAUCAAAUUGUCGAAAAUGAUCAUUUGUAACGGAACCUAUAAAAUGUCGAAAUUAUCUUUGUUUAAAGGGUAAAUUAUAUUUUACCCCCUAUAGUUUAGUAUAUUUGUACAUAACCCCCAUAUGGUUUUAAAAGUUAUACAUAACCCCCUCAUGAUUUAAAUUAAAGUGUCAAAGUGAUAGAAAUGAUCAUUCGUAACCAAACCUUUAAAAAUAUUGAAAUUACUCUUAUUUAAAAAUUAAAAUGGUUGAAAUGACCAAAAUAUAUAAAUAUAAUAUAUAUGACGCACUAACCCAGUAUGAUUUUAUAUUUUACCAUAUAACCCUCUUAUAAUUUAAUACUUUACCAUAUAACCCCUUAUAGUUUUCAAAAUAUACACAUCACCCCAUUGUGGUUAGUAAAUAAUUUUCAACUUUACAUAGGAGUAUUUUUGACAUUUUAGGUGACUCCGUUUUGGAUUGUAAAUCUCGUUACUUUGACACUUUAAUCUAAACUAUGAGAAAGUUAUGUAUAGUUUUUGAAAUUAUAGGGGGGUUAUGUGAAAAAGCGCUAAAUCACUGGGGGGUAAAGUGUAUUUUACCCUUUUUAUUAAAGUGAUAGAUUUUUAAUCCAAAACCUUCUACUUACAAUCCCUUUCAUCUUACCAUCCAAUUCAACCCUAUCUAGGGGACUUCACAAUCUAAUUGCGGCGUAGAACAAUUAACUCACAUCUCUAGGUACACGCCAUGUAUAAAACAAGUUCAUCUAUUAUUAUGUUUAGAGUUUAAAACUGUUGAAACUUGUACAAUGUUGUAUUGAAACUUGUAGAUCUAUACGCAUUAUACAAUGUUGUAUUGUGGUGUACUUUUAAUAUCAAAUUAAUAAAUUAAAUUCACAGAUAAAAGAAGUAAACUAACAAUUUUAGUACACCACAACAAUAUAAAUAGUCACUAUUUAGAUAGUAGUGAACAUUCUAAGAAACAGUUCUAGUGAAACACUCAAAAUUAGACGUUAAUUCUUGAACUCUUUUAAUUGAGUCUCAAACAUGCAAAUCUUUCAAGCACUCGAGCUCUCUAACUCUCUCUUACAAACUGAAGAAAAAGCACCUUUUUCCUCGUCUCAUGUAGUGCAUUGCAGUCUGAGAAUCUAGCGGAGAUCAUGCUCAAAUCUGAAAAACCUUUUUGGGGUCAAGCUGUCUAACAUGCUAAAUAUACCAUAAAUGUUUAUAGAACAAAAGCCUUCUAAACUUUUAGUCAUUGAAUGUGGCCAACAGCUUCACUGUUCCACAUUUACAAAUUGUUAAUAAUCAUGUCAGAGGGUCACUGUUGUAACUUUAAUAUACAAUACAAAAUGUAGAGUGUGGCUCCUGAUCCAAUUAAUUAGAGACAGCAAAAAUAAUUUUGUCACGAUGGAUGGCUACAAUAAUGAAAUAAAAAAAUAUUCAUUCUCACAAGAAAGGAUGAAAAAUGCAGAGUAAUUUGUUCCGAUGAAUUUGAAAAUAUCUGAAUUUAUGUACAUGCGGCACGUGCAUUAUUUUCUUGUUUUGUCCCCGUUACUUCACCAAAUCCAAUGAAAUUGGAAAUGGAUGUUAGGAAAUUCGAUUUAUUUUUCAUCUAGAUUGUGUGGCAAGUAAGUAAUUUCAAACAUUUUCUAUUUAGUAUUUACUUCAAAUAGUCAUUAAGAAAAUUUCUAUAUACAUGGGUUUCGUAAGCAUGUUAAGUCGUUCAAUUUCAUUAGUCGGGCAAUGGUUAAGCAACGCAUUCUAUAAAUAGGUGGGGAGUGGCAACACACAAAAGGAGCCACGUGGUCUUAUGCAUGAGGUAAAAGAAGUUAUACAAAGGUUAAAUUUGAGGUUCAAGUCGUAUUCUUAUUUGAGGUUCUUCCCUUAUAAUAAAGAAUAGGUGUUCUUUCCCUAGUCAUAAGUUCUAUAAUUGAAUCAAACCAGGUUAAAUAUUUUCUAUCACUCUUAUUUCAUGCGGUGGUUUGGUGUCAUUAAAUAGUUAAGUUCUUGAUUGUUCAAUAAUUAUUUAUUUUGCAUCGUGGAUCCCAACAACAGGCAUCAGAGCAUAGUUGGAUCGGAUUAAAUAUUGAUAUCAAAUGAAUUUGUAACAAUUAUCAAUUUAACAAUUUAUAAUAGGGUCAACACCAUUGUUCAAGAAAGUUUGGUAGGGGAAAGGAUUGGAAGCCAAAUAACGUCUCAAUAAAAGAAAAUAGUGGAGUCCAAUGUAACAUUUGAAUCUAAUCCAAUGGAGAGAUGUUUUCACAAUUUUCAAAUAUGUGUACUUCGCCUGGCGCUUGGAUUUUAGCUAUUGGUUGUAGCCAUUCUUUGGUUCGUGUGGUGUAUGUCCAUAGGCACAAAAAAUUUAAAUUUCCAUGCGUUAAUAGGCUCUAAAUGCUGGGCGGAUUUUGUUAGAGGAUUAAAAACUACACACACGGCGAGAUACCUCUGCUGAAAGUAUAGCUGUCAAACAAAGCUGUCAAACAAACCCAUGUAACUGAUUUAUCCAAAUUUGUCCAUGAAUAGAUGAGUAUGGGUAUUUUAAAUUUUUGUAUAUGGGUAUAAAUGGGUUACCCAAUAAUACUCAUUUAUUAAAUAAAUAUUAUUGGGUAACCCAUCAAAUCCAAUUAACCUAUUUAGAAUUGUUUUCCUCCAAAUCUCCUCUCUUCCCCUACCCAUUUUUUUUUUUCAAAAUUUUUAUUUUGUCAUGAUAUUAACUACUUUUGUCUCAUUAUUAUUAUUAUUGUCGGUUUUAUCUUAUCAUUUUAUUUUCUCUUAGUUUGUUAACUUGCUCAUUUUUCAGCAUUACCAAUUUAUGACAAGUUUUAGCCUUUUUUCUUGCUUUUCCAAAAUGAAAUUUUAAAUUUACAUACAAAAAAAUGAUAGAGGUUCAAAAUUUUUUGAUUAAGUUUUUAUGUUAACUUUCAUAGUACUUAGUUCAGAUUUUUAUAUUGUCAUUGUUUAAUUAUUAAAUAGUAUGUAAUUUUGCGACAUAGAGUACGGAUGGAAAACAAAUUGACAAUUAGUUUUAUUGAGUAUUAUAAGUAAAUAUUUAAAACUAAUGAUGUGUACAAAGGAUGGUAUAAAUUGAUAACUUAGUUUGAAAAAAUGAAUUUACAAAAGUUAAAAUAAAUGGGUAAUUGGGUUACCCAAUUCAUUUUUUGACUUACCCAUUUAGACCCAUCUAAUUAAAUGGAUAUAUGUGGGUUGACUUAUUUAUACCCAUUAUGCAUUUUACCCAACCCAAAUCCGACCAAAUCACCCAUUUUGACAUCUUUAGUUGAAAGGGAAGAAGUAUGGUUACCUCAAUGGUUGAAAGUGUAGUUUAGGAAAGGGAUAAUUUCAGAAAUCUCCUUGAGGUUUCUAAUAAUUUCACUGGCCUCCAUUGAGAUUUAUAAAAUUACACUUACCUCCCUUGGUAGAAUUGUGGGCCCAAUUACUUACACCAUAUUGGGGAAAAUUACUCAUAUACCCUAAAACAUUAUGUCUUAUAGAAACUAAUAUCUAACGAUUGAGUAAUUAGAGCACUAAUUAACUAUUAAUAACUAAUUAACAGAAAUAACGGUUGAGAAUUUCUUUAAUGAUGAAUAGUGAUUUGCAAUUAUAAAAUAAGGCCAAUUGAUAUACCAAAUGACAUAAUUUUAUGAUUGAUAGAACUUGAUAAUGAUCAGAAACCAGUUGUACACAAUAUGAGAAGAAGAACUCUAAUAGAAAAAAAACACAAGGCAAAAGAAGAUUGUUCAUGAGAAAAUUUUCUUUGAAACUUUUAAAACUGUAAUAGUUGUAAAGCAAUUUUGUAGAAGUAAAGGAGAAAGAAGGGAAAAGAAAGGCAAAAUUCAAAAAAAUUUUAUGUUCAAAAUCACAAGAAUCAUAGCAAAUUUAAUGUUAAGAGCAAUGAUUGGUCUAUUUUACUGAAUCUUAUGAUCAUUAGUUUAGUUUUAUUGUUUAUUUGUAUUGUCUAAUAUAUUGAACAUGAACUUUUUCAGUAAUGAAAUGUGUGUUUUAAUUGUUUCUAAUUUUUAAUUGUUUUCAUUUUUUUACUAAUACAAUUUAUAUACAUAAAUAAGUGGUAGUUAUGGGAUAAAAGUUUCAUCUCUCUCCUUAAAAUACCUUUUUAAUGUCACUUUUUCUGAUUUGGACUAAUUUUGUUACUAAAACAUUAAACUCAGGGGAAGUUUAUGUAAUUUGACAAACCUCAAGGGAGGCUAGUGAAAUUGUUAGAACAUGCAGGGAAUGUUUCUGAAAUUAUCCCUUUAGGAAAAGGAAUCCAAAGUUGCUUCCAAAUUAUAAGUGGUGGCAAAAAGGAGAAUCUUACAAACAGAUACUCCCUCCGUCCCAUUGAAACUGUCAUGCUUUCCAUUUUGGUCUGUCCCAAAAUGUUUGUCACAUACUCAAAAUGGAAAACAAAAAUUCUCUUGUUUCAAUUUUUACCCUUCAAGAUUCCCUCACUCUUUACUUUUAUUAGUGGGGCCCUUUGAUUUUCAUUUGCUCUCAACUCAAGUUGCAAGACAUCCGUGAGAUACACACAAGGUUUAAAGUGAUGCGUGAGAAUCACUCUCUGUUGGCGGAUUGCAUUUCUUGUAAGUAGUUUUGGCCCCACAUGUCAUUUUUGUCUCCUUAACCACUAAUGACCACACAUUCUAGUGGCAAAAUCGGAAAACAAAUCUGAAACUUAACACUGUGCAUAAAACGUUCAGCUCCCAAAGCACGACAAAGUUUUCGGGACAGAGGGAGUAAUAAAUUGAGCAAUGAUUGGGCCUUGGUCCAAUGAUUAGGGAGAGUCUAUUAAAACUCUCUCGUAUACUAGGUUGAGAGGUUUAAACUUUGCCAAAUGCAUUACAAGGAAGUGUAGUGCUUACUUGUUCUUAAAAAACUAGAGGUACUUGAACUGUGCAAAGCACAGUUUGAGCCCCCUAGAAAUUUAGUCGAAUGCAUAGCAUCAAAUUAUUUUGCCACAUGAUGAAUGAAUAGAAAUAUAGGAGAAAAAUUGAGCAUCAAAGCAAUUAAAAUUGACAAAUAUUAUUUGAACUCUCAUUUUUGUUAAUCAUACUUCCGCUAUUAUUUUUAUCAUAUAGCUUUUGUUUAUUAUAGGAAUAGAAUUAACAAAAUAUGGAGAAUAAAUAAAAUUUCUCUCAAAAUUUGUUGUAAAGAGAAAUCCCAUCUAUGAAUUCAACCUCCCUAUUUAUUGUGAUUUGAAUAAAGAUUUUUGAACCACUAUUAUAUGAUACCCAAAAAGGAGAGAAAAUUAAUACACUAUAAGUGCAUUGAUGUAUUAAUAGUAGUAUAGUUUUAGUUAAAACUAAAUCAAAAGCAGUCAUAAUACUUUUAGUACUUUAAUAAUGAGAAAAAUUUUAGGAAGCUGCUAAAACAUGGCACAAUCUUCAACAUCAAUAUAGCUUACUAUAAACUUUCAUAUUUUUCUUUCUUUUGAUAGAAGAAUCUAGUUCAUCUAUGUAAAUUCCGCCUAAAGGUAACAACAUUAUCCUGCAGCUCCAGAAUAUAAAUAGUAAGAUUAGAUAAAAAUAUGAAUUGCUAUGUUUCCUGAUCUACAUAUACAAAUUAGAAUUGAACUAUUUUUUAUUGCAAAACCAUCUUCCUAAUCAAAAUUGAAUUUUCUAACAAUUUUUUGUCAAGUCAUAUUCUAGGCCGAAACCCUCAAUUGUGACUUCCACCACUGACUGCAAUCCUUGUAUACCAACCCAAUUGAUACUACAACACUUGAGUACUUAAAAAACAAACAAAAAUUAACUUUAUUUUAAAUAUAUACAAAAUCUUAUUGGAUCCUUCAAUUAAAUUGAAUAGGCCAUAAAGUAAUUGCAAAAAGAAAGAAAUGGAGAAAAACGGAGGUACAAGAAUGCCUAGCUAGAUUUAUCUUAGUGGAAACAUCACAUGAUAUAUCUUUCUCCUAAAAAAAUACACAAAAUUGUAGAUAAUUACAAAAUGGAACCAAAAAAACAAAGCAAAGGAAACAAAAUGUGACGUCAGAAAUCAAAUCAUGGGAGGAGAAAAUAAAAGAAUGAAUUUUUGUUCUAUUAUUCAUAGAAAAUGAUCAUUGGUAUAAAAUGAAUUCUAAGAUAUUUUAAUAUUUCACCUUUUAUCCAUGAAGAACUACCAAAUAAAAACAUCAUCCUAUAAAUUUAACAAACAAAUGCCAGUUGGCUAUAACAUUAUGAUAAAAAAAUAGAGCAAACAUGAGAGAUUAGAGAUGAAGAAAAAAGGAAGAAAAGAAAAUGUAAAAUGGGAUAAAAAUAAUAAAGAAUUCUUUUUGCUAAGUAGCUAUCAUCUUGACAAAAAAAAAAAAAAGAACAUGGCAACAAUCUUAGUUAGAUUAGUUUUAAAAAAUAAAAAAUAAAAAAAGUGGGGGAUGACAUUAGUUACUGCAAGAAGAAAAAGAAGAGAUGGAGUUGAUUUUCUUAAGGAGAAAAAAUAUUUUAAUCCUUUAACCCAAUUGGAUCAAAAAUGGGAAGGAAAAAUUUAGGUAAAAUAAUCAAAGGUCCACUUGUCAAAAAUAUAUGCAUUACAUGUGUCAAAAAGAUGGUUAGCUACAGUAACUUGAAUUUCUUUUUAUAUACAAGGUAGAUCUUACUGCACUUGUUUGGUCUGGUAGGCUAGUGUAGAAGUUCCGGUGCUUUUUUAGACUCCCCUUCCCUACAGCAUAGGGUAGUGUAGAAGUUCUGAUGGCUCAUCUUAAUGUAGAAAUAGAGUAAAUGUUCCUGCUAAUGACCAAUAAAAGAAAGAUAAUAAAUUGAGCCAUCUCACAUGAGUCAACUUAGUGUAGUUUAAUUGGCUCAUCUAAGUGAAGUUUAAAAUUUUGAACUCCUAAUUAUCCAAACAUAUCUUAGUGUAUUGUGCGUUUAUCUUAUAUGUAAUGACUACGGUAUCACAGUUACACACGUAUGACAUGUACACCAUAUUUUAAUUUAAAAUUUAAAUUCAGUUUAAUUAUCAUGCAUUCACUGGUGACAAAAUAUACGUGGUCAAUGUUAGAAUGCUAAUCUAUGUAUACAGACUUAAAUUCAUAAAAUUUCUAGUGAUAUAGUUAUAAUUUCAUAAGGACCGGUGUUUUGACACAAAAUCGAGAUCAAAUUUAUAAAUUUAGAUCAUAAAAAGAUUUGGAAUAACAUGAUUGGGAGCUCACAACUAUGACUAAACCUACUAUAGUCUUCUUUGGAAGGUAAUUUUUCACCAAAUUUUUUUUUAAUAUUUUUCAAUCACUUUUUUAUUUUACAUACAUCAAGUCACUAUAGUAUAUUUUUCUAUAAAAUUCCCUAAAAAUAACAAUGUAAAGGGGUAAAUUUUUGUGAAUCCAAUUACUCAAAAAAAAAAUAAAGUGGAAAGAAUUGAAAUAUCAGCAUCACCACCUACCUGCCCCCCGGCCACGGGGCCCGUGUGAUGUCACAGGACUGUUACGGACAUUCGGUAGUCCAAUUAACGGUGGGGUCGGUCGUUCGUCGUAGCCUUCCACUGGACUCUACUGCAGCGGGGCCCCAAGGGAUGUGGUUUCGUAGUCGAAGCUGAGUCAGGAUGGACCCCACCACCUGUAAAAAAAUAAAAAGUAUCCGAAAAGAACAGCCAGCGAGCGAAUCCAAUGCUGCCGUUGUUUGGUGGGAUUGAAAUUCAAUCGCCAAUUCACUGCAGGCAACAAUGCGCAGCCCUAUAACACUGCAUGUAUAGCCCCCAAGUGAAUGGGCUGGUGGUUGGCGCCUCUUUCUCGGGACCGUUAGGUCCUGGGGUUGAACCUCCGCAGCAACAUCGGUUUUUCCGUGCAUCUAACGUGCUAGAUCUGGUUGGGGCGCUGGGCCCGGCCGGAUUGGGAUUAGUCGGGCCACCUUUACGGACUUGACCCGGACACUCACUCCGUCGACAAAAAAAAUAAAAAAAUAAAAUAAAAUUACACUGCAUGUAUAGUUUCAUUUUCAUAAUCUUGGUUGGGGAAUUAAUUCCCUUUUAGUCCUAGUAUGCAAUACUGCUGUCUUGACGAUCCGUAUUAGUAUAAAUUUCCUGAGGCCUAGGGAAUAUUUUAGAAUAUUUUAUUUUGGAGUUAUUUUUUGUUUCUUGGGUGGAGGGUAAGGAGGGACUAGAAAAGGAAUUAUGACUAAUUUAAGUUCUUUAUGCUGAUGCAUUUUGGGGCAAGGAUUGCUUUAGAACCCCAAAUAUCCAGAUUUCGACUCCUUCAAUAAUAACUUUUGAAUCCCCAUAAGAUGAGAAGCUUAGUCUAAUAAUAAUAUUGGCGGAAUCCAUUAGCCCAUUGGUUGUCCAGCCCAACGGAGUAUCCAACUCAAAUGCCAGUCUAAUUACUUGACUGAGGAUUUUAGAAAUUAGGGUUGUGGAUUGGCAAAAGUUUGUGGACCUAUGGAAAAAGAAUACUGUAGUGUAUUUGAUGAAACAGCAAAAUCAAAACUGAAACUAAAUAUGAUUUAAUUCAAUAGUUAAAAUAGACAAAUCUUAGAGCUGUUACGACAAGAUAAUAUACACAAAAUUAUGUAGAAAUUUAUUGGUAGACUUCUUCAUGACCUACUCAUAAUCACUUCCUUCUCUGAAAUCUGAAUGCAUCAUAGCUUUCAUAGCACUUCAACAAGCAUUUUGUUAAGUAAGACAAAAUACUAUUCACAAUAGUAAUUUAGAAAGAAGUAAUUUUGAUGGAACUUUUAAAUACCAUAAAGGAUAUGCAGAGGACAGGGCAAAACUAGUUAAAAGUAUUGGCUUUGGAUAGGGUAUUAUUUGAAAUAUUAUUUGGAAUAAUUACUAUAGCACUUUUUAUGAUGUGAUGUAUGCGAGAUAAAAAAAAUGGUUGGAAAUAUAAAAAAGAUGGAUUAAAAAAUGUGUUUAUGAUGCAAGCGAAAUAUUAUUUGAAAAUUUUUUUGUAUCCAUCAGUUUACGGGCAUUUCAGAACCCCAAAGUCGUCCCCGCCGAAUCCAAGAGGCCUCAGGCCUUGAAAAGAGGUCAGUCUUAAGGGAGACCAUGCGAAUGGUUGAAUUGAAUACACGUUUUAUCUUUAAUCCAAUCUAAUUAACUGAGCUUCUUUUAGAAUAGAACGGAUAAAGGAAGGAGCUAAGAGCUUUCCGCCAAGUUUUUUUUUGUCACUUUCUUCUUUUAUAAACUUCUUCGCUAAACUCAAUUCAAAAAAAGCUGUACUGACUAGCGUGAACUCACGGAUUGAGUUGUAAACGGUACCUUUGCUGGGAAAAAGCAGAUCAAUCAAGUUAAUCAAGGACGGAGCUGUUAGUGACGAUUGGCCCAGGGGCCCUUGGGCCUCAGGGCAUAGAUAGAUCAUAGGUGAGUACAAAUAGGCCCGUUAAAGACGAGUAAGCAGGGUGCGACGAAGCCCACGGGGUGGCACAUGGUCGUACUUAAAGGACGAACCACUGGCAUUACUUAACCAUGCCUUCUGCACUUAAAGGACUGCCCAUUUGUAACCCAUAGAUUAUCCUCCUACUUGGCUCAUUCUUACCCUCGCAUAGCUGAAAGCUAUUUUAUUUUUUUAAAUCCUUCCACUCCUCUCCGUACCAUUCCAAGGUUCAACUGUUAGGUACAGACUUUGAACUGAGCCUGAUAGCGGGAAGCCUGAGUUGAAAGCCAGUUACUCUCCACAAAGCAUACUCCAAUCAUACCACUCACUGCAUUUCCCUUGCGCCAUGUCUAGCUCAUUUUUUGGUUCAACCACGAGCGAGCAAAGAUGGGCUAAUCAGUUCAAUAAACAUUUCACCAUAUACAUUGAAAAUGAUGCCUCCAUCUUUCGUGUACCAAAAAAAGUAUGCGACACAAAGCCAGAAACUUAUGCCCCUCAGCAGAUAGGCCUAGGAGCAUAUCAUAACUUGAGGCCUGAUCUUGAUGAAAUGAACCGCAGAAAGCUUGAGGCUGUCAAGAUAUUUUUGAAGCCGGAACAGUACCGGAAUUUCAAAAGCCUAAUUGUCGACAAGGUCAAAGAGCUUGAGCCCUCAGUACGCGCUUGCUACAGCAAGUACUUGGACAUUGAUGGCGAUACUUUGGCAUGGAUCAUGUCUAUUGAUGGUGUAUAUUUGCUUCAUCGGCUGAGCACCUAUAGAUAUAAAGGAAGUGUUGAUUCGGAGGACAGGAAGUUUGCUCAGGACAUUGCAAUGUUGGAGAAUCAAAUGCCCGUGAUUGUGCUCGAAGAAAUAUUGAAGGCUAUUCAAGCUCCUGUUGAAGGUGAGGUGCAAGGUGCCGAUGAUGAUGAUGAAGCUGGUGAUGGUGAGGAUGAAGAAGAAGAUGACGUUGAGGAAGAGGAUGAAAGUGAGAACGAGGAAGAAAACAAGGAAAAAAAAUUAAAUCGAUUGUUUUUGUCAUUCUGUAAAGCACACACUCCCCUUGGCCUAACUGAUAAAGCAGGAAUUCUUGGCGAUACCUCUAAUCCUCAUCUUCUGAGUUAUAUGUAUAAUUUGAUUGUGAAAAAUCGGUCUCUUGGAGAUCAGUCUCCCGAAGUUCGUAUUCUUUUAUCUUCGGCACCAGUCGAGGUAGCUGAUCCAGUUACACAAGUUACACAGGCUGCAAGCGUUGCAGCUGAUUUGACGGGGCAGAAACCUCUGCAACUGUUAGCUAGUUUGCCACUGCAGCAGCUUGCUGAUCUUUUCAAAGAAGAUUCAGAAAAAGGAAACUCUUCAAUUGAAGAGAUCCAUAUCCCAUCAGCUUCCCAACUUGAUGCAAUUUGCAAAGUACAAUUUGAAGUCUGGAGUGAAGAUUCAGGCGUCAAAAUAAUGGAGCUUGAUAAAUUGAAUCGGGUAAUGUGCCUCCCCGUAAUUACUUUGAACACUGAUUCAGAAGUGAUAUUACGAAACCUGGUGGCUUAUGAAGUUGCCUCAGCUUCUCCUGGAUCUACCCUUAUACUUGCCGGAUAUGUGGAUUUCAUGUGCGGCAUUAUUGAUACUGCAAAAGAUGUAGAUUUGCUCAAGGAAAAAGGAAUCAUAGAAAGCAAUCUCCUGAGUGAAGAAAUCGCAGAAAUCUUCAAUGGGAUAAGCAAAUCUAGCAGUCAGCGUGCCCUUCCUGAAUUAGAAGAGGCUACUCAGGAUUUGAAUAGGAUUUAUGACAGCACUUUCAGAGUCAGAACUUGGAGAUUGAUAAGAGACUAUUUGAUUCCAUCUGUCAAACUCUUUUUUGCGAUAUUGGUGCUUUUGCUGCUCACAGUACAAUCAGUUUGCCAGGUUUAUGGCUGCAGUGCAAGUUCGCUUGGCAGGGUCAGUUCUAUAUGAUCAUUAUGGUUUUACAGAAAGUUCUUGUUUGCCUUCGGGUUUUGAUCUUAAAAUUAGAAUUUCGUGUUUGUCAAUUUGAGGAGGUGUUAAUUAUUGUUCUUUUGACUACAACCUAAUGAUAAGAGUACUAGUUUGGCAAAGACUUCUUUCUUUUUCUGUUUUUCAACGCAAAUAUAUUUUUUUUAUGCAUCAAACUAUAUAUCUCUUACAGUAUUAAUGAAGCAAAAUAGCAUACACAAGCACAAAUUUUGAUUCGAAAUUUUUCUUUGAGUAAAAUAUACUUAAGCAAGUUUUUCCGUAACGCUCUUGUGAUUUCAAAAGAUAUACAUAACCUCUCAUAAUUUGUACUAUAAUAUUAAAGUGAUGAAAACAAUCUUUUAUUGUGACACAUUUAUAUCAUGCAAUCGAAGAAAAAACACCUAAUUAAACUAAUAAGUUUGAGACGUCAGGCACCCUUUUUCCUCGUCUCAUUUAAUCGAAAAAACCUUUCUUUGGAUCAAACUAUCUAACAUUGCUACCUAAAUCAUAAAUAUAUAUAUAUAUAUAUUUAUAGGACAAAAGCCAUCUAGAGAAUAAUAAAGAAUAGGUGGUCUUUCCCUAGUCAUAAGUUUUAUAAUUGAGUCAAACCAGGUUAAAUAUUUUCUAUCACUCUUAUUUCAUGCGGUGGAUUGGUCUCAUUAAAUGGUUAAGUUCUUGAUUGUUCAAUAAUUAUUUAUUUUGCAUCAUGGAUCCCAACAAUUGGUAUCAGAGCAUAGUUGGAUCGGAUUAAAUAUUGAUAUCAAAUGGAUUUGUAACAAUUUAAUAGGGUCAACAUCCUUGUUCAAGAAAGUUUGGUAAAGAGCAUUGAAGGGGAAAGGAUUGGAAGCCAACAAACAUCUCAAUAGGUGAUAAAGGAUAAAAGAAAAUAGUGGAGUCCAAUGUAAAAUUUGAAUCUAAUCCAAUGGAGAUGUUUUCACAAUUUUCAAAUAUGUGCACUUCGCCUGGCGUUUGGAUUUUAGAUUUUGGUUGUAGCCAUUCUUUGGUUCGUGUGGUAUAUGUCCAAAGGACGCAAAAAAUUUAAAUUUCUAUGCGUUAAUAGGCUCUAAAGGCUAUGCGGAUUUUGUUACAAGGUGGAGCAUUACAAACUACACACACGGCGAGAUACCUCUGUUGAAAGGGAAGAAGUAUGGUUACCUCAAUGGUUGAAAGUGUAGUUUAGGAAAGGAAUAAUUUCAGAAAUCUCACUUGAGGUUUCUAACAAUUUCACUGCCUUUCCUGAGGUUUAUAAAAAUGCACUUACCUCCCUUGGUAGAAUUGUGGGCCUAAUUACUUACACCAUAUGGUAGGAAAUUACUUAUAUACCCUAAAACAUUAUGCCUUAUAGAAACUAAUAUCUAACGAUUGAUUAAUUAGAGUACUAAUGAAGUAUUAAUAACUAAUUAACAAAAAUAACUGUUGAGAAUUUUUUUAAUGAUGAAUAGUGACUUGCAAUUAUAAAAUAAGGCCAAUUGAUAUGCCAAAUGGCACUAUUUUAUGAUUGAUAAAACUUGAUAAUGAUUAGAAACCAGUUGUACACAAUGUGAGAAGAAGAACUUUGGUAAAAGAAAAAACACAAGGUAAAAGAAGAUUGUUUGUGAGAUAGUCCUUCUAGUGCAUAAUUAUUUGUGAGACAUUAAAACAAAACUGAUAAAGAAACAUAAUAUUUUCAACCCUUCACCAAGUAAUGCCAAGGGUAUGGUUGUUGACAUAAGGAAUUUCUGUUUGCAGACAGUAUUUCUAUGACAAUCUUUAUGUGUAAAGAGAUAGUUAUCCACUACUGAGAAGAACUUUUUUUUCUUUUUUCUUUUUUUUAUCUUCAACAGAAUUUAAAAGCUUGCAAGAAUUUUCCAUGAAAUUCACUAACCAUAUUUUUGAGAAUUCAGUAGUUCAAGAAUCUUGGUUUAAUUUUUGUGCCCUUCUUGUGCAGUACUAUUUAGGUUCAAAGUAAGGAUAAGAGCUUUUUAAGAGAAGAAAUGUAGCUUGGGCUUUCAGUAUUGUUCUUUCUUCCUUCUUUUUUUUUUUUUUGGAAUUUCUCUAUUUCUUCCAAAAGGAAAAAAAAUGAGGUGAAGAUUUAUUAGACGAAAAUGUCAGUUGCUAUAUGUGUCUAUAAAAGAAUCCCACCACCAAAUAUUCUUGUUCUUGCAUCAUCCAUCACUGUUCAAUUGUAAAAAUAGGAUUGGUUUUAACCACUUGCGAUAAAAUUAGGUCUUCAAUAUUGGUAGCAUCCAAACUGAAGCAAAUAUAUACCAUCAAGUUCCAGGUUCCUGUUAUAGCAAGCUCGGAUGGAGGGCUCAAUCGUUUUCAGCUUAUUAAUCAGAAGUUCUUCAAAAUUAUCAAGUAUUUCUGGCUGAACAAACCUUUUCACUACAGCAAUCUUCUGUUUCUGCACUCAAUAAAGCUCUGGGCGUAAACUAUGAUAGGUUCCUAUACCUAUUCGCUGAGGGACAUAAGCUUCUGGUUUUGUGUCACACUUUUGGGCUAUGUUUUCAGAACCGGACCGAGUAUCGACUCGGCCGAGGUCAGGGGUCAGGGAUCAAUGGGUUCGACCGGGGGUCGAUAGAGGUCGAACCGGAUAACGUCAUAAAUAAAAAUUAUUUAAAAAUUAAAAUAUUAUAUAUAAAAUAUCUAAUAAUAUGUUAAUAUUAAUAAAGGUAUAUUCAUAUAUAUUUGAUGUUUCAAAUAUAUUUAACAAGAAAAUACAAAAAAAUUAGAACAAUCAAGGAGCAAUUUAUGUUAUUUAAUAAAUAUUAACAAGUUUAGAAUUAAAAUUAUGAAUUUAAUUGAAAAAUAACAUCAAAUUUUGGGACAAUAUUUAUAAAGUAUGAAAUAUUUGAGGUAUAUUAAUAAGUUUUAACAAUUUAGGGGGUCAAAACAUAAUAUUGAAAAGAUUGAGUUCUUUUUUUUUAAAAAUGCCCAUUGAACAGAAAAACCGAUUUUUUCCCGGUCAAACCCAGUCAAAUUCAAUUUUUGACCGGCUUUGACCGAGCUUUAAAUUUCUGAUUUUUUACUAUGACUCGGACCGAACACUUGGCCGAUUUUCGGUUCGACCGGCUGGUCCGAUCCGAGUUUCAAAACAAAGCUUUUGGGAACUCCAAAAGCACAAUGAGGGAUGUCAAUGUGUAUCUUGAACUUUUUCCUGACCCGAUCAUCCCAGCGUUUCUCCCUUAAACCUCUGUUUUGAAACUCGGACCGGACCGGCCGGUCGAACCGGGAACCGGCCAGGUAGCCGGUCCGAGUCAUAUUAAAAAACCGGAAAUUUAAAAUCCGGUCAAAGCCGGUCAAAAACCGGGUUUGACCGGGUAAAAACCGGUUUUUCCGGUUCAACAGUGCUUUUUUAAAAAAAAAUUUUCAAACUUUUUAAUAUUAUGUUUUGACCCCCUAAAUUGUUAAAACUUAUUGAUAUACCUCAAAUAUUUGAUACUUUAUAAAUAUUGUCCUAAAAUUUGAUGUUAUUUUUCAAUUAAAUUCAUAAUUUUAAUUCUAAACUUGUUAAUAUUUAUUAAAUAAUAUAAAUUGCUACUUGAUUGUUCUAAUUUCUUUGUAUUUUCUUGUUAAAUAUAUUUGAAACAUCAAAUAUAUAUGAAUAUACCUUUAUUAAUAUGAAUAUAUUAUUAUAUAUUAUAUAUAUAAUAUUUUAAUUUUUAAAUAAUUUUUAUUAAUGACGUCAUCCGGUUCGACCCCUAUCGACCCCCGGUCGAACCCAUUGACCCCUGACCCCUGACCUCGGCCGAGUCGCUAUCCGGUCCGGUUCUGAAAACAUAGCCUUAAACUUGAACCAAGAAUUAAAUCAUUCAUCUUGUUGAUGAUUGCUGAGUAUUUCUUCAGGUUGUGGCUUAAUUAAUAUGCCGUAAUGCAAAAGCAUGUAAUUAGCUUUUUGACCUUUCAAAACAUUGCAAAGAAUCAGUUUUUGUCCCAAGUGUUUUGAUUAGAAAUUCUAAUCUACCUUUUUCUUGUUUGAAUACAGAUUAACCACUCUUUCCUAAAAAUUUUCUACCUCUAUAUGGGCACAAUCUCUUCAUGCUUAAUCAUCAAUCAUUCACGCUUUUGUUCAUGGGAUCAAGCUUGUGAAUGAAUAAGUUGAAGUACCUAAAUGUCAAAAAACAAAUGUAAAAUAAGUUUUACCACAUCUAGUUGAUCUUCAGAGUUAACCAAACAAGGGAACUAUAGGGGUUUAUUACUUUUCCUGAGAUUUAAUUGCGUAGAAACAAGUAAAAUGCUCAUUGAGCGCUAGUUCCACAAUCCCAAUUUUUUUUCAUUACCAUUUGGUACUAUUAAUCAUAACUAGACCUAAUCUACGACUAAAUCAUGCAUUAAAAAUACUUAAGAUAUACGGUUAAAAUUUUAAUUUGUGGAAGAGAAUAUGAUUAUCCACUGUCAGGUACCUUUUCAGCUGAUAGACAAAUGCAGUGCAGAAAGUAGGACAGUAGGACGACUACCUUCUUUGGCUCAUUUCCUCCCCUAGUGUCCAUCAGAUUCUCUAGGGAACUAGUGGGAAGAAAGCGAAAGCAGCAUAAGCACAGAAACAAGGAAACAGGGGCACAUGGGAAGUGCAGUAAACCUAAGCGCAAUGCCAAACAAUAACGCCUUUUUUAAUCGUCAAGUGGGAGGACGCAGUACAGAAACACGAGAUCGGAAACCAAAGCGCGAUGCGCGAACAACAUAACGCCUUCAAAACAGCGAAGGAAUCAGGUUGAAUCCAAUUGGCACUUUAUGUACUUAUGUUGAUAAACAACAAUAAUAAAGAAAACUUUAGUUUUUGAAAUAUAAAUCACUAAAAUGUAGAAUAGAAAAAGAAAGCAAAAUGAUAGGCAAGGGAAAAACAAGAAAGUCCAAAAAAAAGGGGAAAAAAAAAAGAAGGAAAGUAAAGAAUGGCAAAGUUCGACAAUAUUUUUUUCCCCCAGCUGAUCAUUGCUUCAUCCUUUCCUUUCUUAGCAAAAAAAUGUACCAUUCAAUAUGUUAAUCCUGAGUGUGUGAGAGGGAGAGGGAGAAAGAUACACCAGCUGGGGUGGAUGAAGAAACCACCAAAGUAGAAUCAAUUUCUUCCUCCACUUCUGUGGGAUGGAGCUGUUUCACUGAGGUUUUCUAUUCUUGUGCAUGUUCCUUUUUGGUCUUACAAAUAUUUUUGGGCUUUGUAAUGGGUUGAAGUUGAUGUGGUUAAGGGGCUUUUUAGGCCUCAUGCCUUUUUUUCGUUUGGUUUGAUUAGUUGGGACUUGGGACUUGUGAAACGCAGGUAGAAAUUACUUGGGACUUGGGACUUGGUUUGACUAGGGCUUUCUAGUUUUACUGGUUUGUAUGGUUGGACAAGUUUCUGCAGGUAGUUCCUCUUUAGUCUUCUGAAAAAUUACUUGAAUUUGAAAAAGGUAAGGCACUUAACAUAUGGGCCUAAUAAAACCUUGAGAAAAACUUUAAUAAAUGGGCCUGAAAAAUAGUAGGCCUUGGCCUCGACAAAAAGUUUACCAAUAAAUGCUUAGGAUGUGCAAUAUUCAUACCUUAUCUGGUUAAAGACUUAAGAGAGAAAUGCAAUUUUGAUUCUCAAUGUUUGGCCUAUAUUCUGAAUUGGACCCCAAUGUUUUAAUCAAAAUAAAUGUGGUCCACAAAAUUUUUAAUUUUGAGUAGAUUUAAGACAAUUGAUAGAAAUUCAACCAUUCCUAACGGUCAAAAUCAAAUUUCCAUUAGUCAACUAUUUUUGAAUUUGUAUUUAGAGUUUUCAAAUUUUUUAAUUUAAAUCAUUAUAGUCCCUUGAGUUUGGAAUAGUAACAUUGAGGGUUUUAGGAUGAAACUAAAUAUGAAUUGUGUUGAAAAUGUGCUAUAUUUACUAAAAAAUUUAGUAUCAAAAAGUAUGAAAUAACAAAAUAGACCUUUCUUCUUCAUUUUUUGCUUCUUUAUUUCAUUAGUUAUAUUACUAAUUUCUAAUAUAUUUCCUAUCUUUUGCAUAGUUGAUCUCAAAUUUGGCAAAAUAUAUCUAAUCAUACCAAUAAUCAAUUGAUAAUGGAUUUUACCAAUUUCACUUAUAUUGAUAAUUAAGCACUCAAUUUAAUAUCCCUUUAAAAUGAAACUAUAUGUAAAUUAAGUUGAUUGAAAAACAAUUUUUCCUUUUAGAUUUUUUUGGCAUUUCAAUUGGUUAUCAAUUAAGUCUCAAAUGAAUAGAUAUUUUAUAUAAUUGUUUAAAUACUUUAAUAAAAUCAACAUUGUAGGUGAAUAUACAUAUACAUACACACACACAUACACAUAUUAAAAUUUUAUUAUUGAAAUAUUUAAUUUAGAAGGAAAGUCAAGAAAAAACAACAAGCAGUCUUUUCAAUUGGCUUUGCGAGAAGGCCGCUUUGUACUUCACUCCGUAAUUACUUUUACACAUUAAUGUAAUCAUGAAUCUUAACCAUAACCGAUUGAAGCCCACCUCCACAAAUCAUGCGAUAAUUUAUAUAAUAGUGUUAGAAUAAAGUUAUAUACUAAAAAUUAGGAUAUUAUCCAUGUAUCAUUAUUCAUGAUACAUGAAUAAUAUCCAUGUACCAUUAAAAAUCACUACUUUUUAAAGAUAUUAUCCAUGUAUCAUUAUUCAAUUGUACUUAAUUCUACAAAGAAAUGUUUUUUAGGCUAAAAGAUUGUGUUGCGUCAGUGUGAAGUGUUUUUAGCAUUUUUUAUAGGAUUUUAGAACACAUUUAUCAUGCAUUUUGGUUCAUAUUUUACUUCUUUGAAAACCUUAAAUAUAACCAUUUGAAACAUAAAAGGACCAUAUUGAUCAAAAUUUCAAAAUUUAUGAACCAAAAAUGCAAAAUUAAAACUUUUGACUAACUCCAAUUUGAUUUUGAUCAUCAAAUUUUGUAAUUUUUCGUUAAUUGUCCAAAACAUGCAUAAAAUUAGAAACUCUAAGGGCCACAUAUGCUUUGGAUGAAACAUUAGGAACUAAUUUAGAACAUCAACCAAACAUUAGAGACCAAAAUUGUAAUUCUCCCUAGAAUUAAAUUUAUGUUGACAUAUAUGUGGCACGUUAUUGGAUGUUCAGCUAUGAGUGCUGAUUUAUGGCAAUGAAGUUAUGCUUUUUUAUAUAUAAAAAUAAAAAUAUAGUUAAAGAAUUGAAUUUAAAACAAAUAAUUUGCCAUUUAGAAGAAAGAUUAAGAAAUCAAGCUGCUAAACGCCAAACUUAUAUUUUUUUUGGCCCGGGGGAGGGGGGGGGGGUGUUGGGGUGUUAUUCAUUGUGUGCUCGCUUGGAAUCGUUGUCCUAAAAUUUUCUUCUGUCCUAUUUGUCCUGUGUUUACACAGCUGUCACAUGUGUUGAUUGCAUUGAUGACUCAAGCAAACCUUUAAUUGUUGAUCGAGUUUGUAUCAAUUUGGUUGAGUUAUCAAUGCAUCAAUACACGUGACAGUUCGUAAACACGAGACAAACGGGAUAGAAGUAAUUUGAGAGCAGAGGAUUUGAAGCGUUGUGUACUUGACCCUUAUUAACAGAAACCGUUUACAACCUUUUUUUUGUGCCAGUUACAGAAACUCCCAAGGAAACUGUCCAUUCACAAGCUAUAACCAAAAUACAAGAAAAUGAUAACAAAAUACCAAGGGGAGAAAAAGGCAAUAAAAAAUUUUCUAUAAGAGAAAGAAGCAGGCUCAAAGAUGCUAUGACUUCUUGCCAAACCAGCGAGAACUGCAGCCAUAGACAUCGCAAAAAGCUUGAAAAGCUAGCAGCACCACUAUUAAUACAUAAAGAAAAAUUCUGACACAAACUUCUGAUGGUCUAAAAUGUUGCCUCAGAUAUGUCCACAUUUUGAUCCUGAAUGAAUCAUCAUAUCCUUUAUUCAAUUCAUCAAUGG
This 59753-nucleotide long non-coding RNA is filed under the name Coffea arabica (coffee). Its description in RNAcentral is "long non-coding RNA (CARA_LNC002689)". The record is from RNAcentral. Lineage: Eukaryota; Viridiplantae; Streptophyta; Magnoliopsida; Gentianales; Rubiaceae.